ACAAUACCAGCAAAGGUUGUCUGCCCAAAUCGGACCUCAACGGACCAAACAGCUCGUAAAUCAAGCACUCGUCCUCCUCACCGUCGGUGGCAACGAUUUUGUCAACAACUACUACCUAGUGCCUUUCUCCGCAAGAUCUCGCCAGUUUUCUCUGCCAGACUAUGUCAAAUACCUCAUUUCCGAGCUCCGAAAAAUUCUCUUGGUAACCAACUCCUAAUUUGGCUAAGUUCGAAAGUAACUUGCUAGCUAAGCGACAAUGUGACAUGUUAAUGACUUUUAAUUAUGUGUUGUUUGAUCAUUCUUUGUGUCAUAACUUACAGAAAAUGUAUGAUCUUGGAGCACGAAGGGUUUUGGUGACGGGGACAGGACCGAUGGGCUGCGUGCCUGCUGAAUUGGCCAUGAGAAGCAGGAAUGGAGAAUGCGCAGCGGAGCUGCAACGAGCGUCGGCUCUGUACAACCCGCAACUCAUUCAGAUGCUGAGAUCAGUCAACAGCCAACUCGGUUCUGAUGUCUUUGUUGCUGCCAACGUACAGGAGACCCGCAAUGACUUCAUCAGGAACCCUCAAGCAUUUGGUAAAUUAAUUGUACAAUAUACGUUUAUAUCAAUUUUAUGUUCAUGACCUAAUAUUAUGAUCAUGGAUUAAGUUUUGUUCGAAAGAUUAACCUAUUCAAGAAUCUCCUAAUCUACGCUUAUUUUCAACCCCGCCAAUCAUUUUGUCUCUUACUAUGCAUUUUUUGUGUGUUGGUGACAUAAAGUUGCUUGUUUAAUUUUUGUUAUCCAGGAUUUACUACAUCAAAGGUUGCAUGCUGUGGGCAAGGACCUUACAAUGGCUUGGGGCUGUGCACAAGAGCUUCCAAUUUGUGCCCGAACCGCGACCUAUAUGCUUUCUGGGAUGCAUUUCAUCCGUCCGAAAAGGGGAACAGACUGAUCGUUGAGAAUAUUUUGACAGGGGAUGAAAAGUACAUGUACCCCAUGAAUCUCAGCACCAUCUUGGCUUUGGAUUCCAGGACCUAAGACAUAUUUCCAUGUGAAACUAAUAUUUAUGUGUACUACUUCCAUUUGAAACUAUAUUUAUGUGUACUAGAUUAUGAUCAGUGUUGAAUGCCAGUACCAUCUACCAUUUAUGUUUGUGCGUCGCUGGGAUGUCUAGUGAUUAAAAACUGAUUGGCUUCCCAAUUGCUUUCUAGUUUUUGUAAUGGUUUGAUUUGCAAGAUUUCCCCCAAGGUGAUAAUGUCAAACUUACCAACUUAAGUACAAUCAUCUUUAAUUUACAUUCAGUCUUUUUGUUCACUGCUUGUGGAAUUUAUUAUCACUUACUCAAUCAGGUUUGUCCAACCUCUUCCUAAAAUAUUCAAAAGUUCGUUUCUGUAACCAAAAGGAGUGCCCAUUUGAUCUACGUGUUGAUCAUCGCUGGGUUCUCUCUUUCUAACUGUGUUGUUUGCUUUAGCUUUCACUUUUCUGCUUCGCAAACUCUCUCACAAAUCUUUAUUGUGUUGCUCUCGAUCUCGCCCUCCCUCGCUCUCCAACCUUGCAUUCCUUCUCUCACAAUAUACCCACAGAGGAAACCUUGGUUUUUGUUGUUCUAGGAAUUUUGUUUGGGGCCUCCAUAUUUAGAGGAGGAGCCGAUCCUUGGAAACCCAGAUAUCUCAACGUUUUGUCAAAGCCCUCAAAUUUGGUUUCGACCGUUUUAUCUCGAUCUCACAAUCGUCGGCGCAAGACCUUCCGCUUUCCUCUCUUGCAUACCUCGGCUUUCAUCGUUUUUCGCCCCGAGCACUCCCCCCCGCAAACAUCUCUGCUGCGAUUAACUCACGCGCCCCGACCUGAUAUUUUCCAAAUACCAGUAUAGACACGUACUGACCGACAUUCAAGGGUGACGAAAGUUAUUAAUUGAUUACAAGAGUAAUGAUUAGGAGAAAAUAUUCAUGAAUAAAUAUUAGAAUUUAAGAGUAAUAAAUAAAAUUUAAGGAAGUGUCUAGAGUGCACAAAAUACAAACUAAUUCAAGAUUUACAAAAAGGAAAAAUCAUUACAAGAUAUCAUACAAGUGGGUGAUAGAUUGCUACUGGUAAGGGAAUGCCUCGUACAUCGAGUCGUAGUCCUCGUUUUUAAGACCUGAAUGGGGAUGCAAAACAAAGGUGAGUGGACCAAAUUCAUAUAUACAAUAAUAAUAAAAUAGUUAUCAAUGUACUAACCCAACAAUUUAUAUAAUGAAAACUACUAGCAUAAUAAGUGAUGGAUUUAAUAAAAAUCCUAGCAUGCCAAAAUAUCUCAAAAGUCAUAUCACGGAAUAACGUCGCAGAAAUCAAAACAGUAAACAUCUAAUAGAUCGUCUCGUAAGCGCGGUGUGUUAUUAGAAAUAUCACUGAAUAAAUAUAACUCCCGGCCCAAUGCCUGCUCUGUGGUUUCUGCGCCCGUAGCCAGAGAUUACCAACUCCCGGCCCAAUGUCUGCUCCGUGUCCCUCAGCCCGUAGCUAGGGAUUAUUUCUCUCGGCCUAUCUGCCAACACCAGAUCCUCGUCCCAGGCAACAUAGUGUCCUCUAGGUAUGCACAAAUAGUUACGUCUCUCAUAAAUAACCACUUCAUAGUAUAAAAUCAUCAAUCGUCUAUAAUAUAAAGAGGGGUUUCUAAAACAUGUCCUAGCAUCCUAUCGUAAUCCAUCAGAUAGUCUACCAGUUCAUGAUUUUUAUAAAAAAUACGAUAUAUUAAAAUAUAGCUCAAUAUAGGCCAACAAACUAAUUCCUCACCAAAAAUACGAGACGAAAAUCAAUAUCUUCAGUAAAUAGGCUUAACAUAAAUUAAAUCAUAAACUUGUAAGCAUGCUAAUCAUUUAUGCAAUUAAAUUAUAAAAUCAUGUAAUUUUAGAAGUAGUCCACUCACAAAUAUUCCUUAGUAGAAGAGUUGUGCAGAUAAAGAUUAGGAAUUUCCUCACUAGCAACUUUACCUAAGCACAAAAAUGUAAUAAAUACAUAAAAGGAUUUUCUAAAAGAUUUGGGCUUGAACUAAAUAAAUUAAGGGAUUUGGGUUGAAUGGGUUAGGGUCAAAUGGGUUUUACAAUCCUAAGGUUUUUGGGUUAAAAAGGCUUUAGGGUGAAGAAAUGUGGUUUGGCCUUAAGCCCAAACACACACACACGCACACGCACACACACGCACACGCACACACACGCACACACACACACACACACACACACCACACAACAUAAGAGCACACACAUGCACUGCAUGCACAUGCAUGCAUGACAUGCAUAUACACGCACACGCACACGCACACACCCCCCCCCCCCGCACACGCACACACCCCCCCCCCCCCCCCACACACACACACACACUCACACAGGCUGCACAACACACACACCACACAAAGGCCGGCCCUAAGGCCUCAUAAAAGGGCUGGGCUUUAGGCCUUAAUUAAAAGGAAAUGGCCCAAGGCCCUUUGGGUCUUUAAAAACAAAAUAAAUAAAAACAAAAGGGAUACGGGCUGGGGUAUUGGGUUGGCCCAAAACGGCUAAGACCCGUGGGUGCUAAUCGGCCUGAAAGGCCUGGGUUUGCUGAAGAAGAAGGCUGGAGCUGCUACAGCUCCGGUCACCUGAAAACGAGGGUUCUAGACCCUGAUCUAAGUACGAACAUGAAGAGCAAGAUGAGGGGAAGAGAUUGCUACCCUCAAAUAACCGUGACACGGCCGGAAGUGACCGGAAAUUCCCUCGAAGCUCACGGGCUCACAGGAAAAAUGGGUGUGUUUCCCCCGCGCCGUUCCCGUCUUCAAAACCUUGGAAAAACAAUAUAAAUCUUAUCACACAACUUCCAACAACAUCAAUGGCAGAUUAAAAAGGGAUCCUACCUUACCUAACCGAAGAAAUAAGGAAAAUCCUGCCGGAGAGUUUCUCUGGGUUCUUUCGUGUCCCGCAACCAUGGAUUUAAAUAUCGAAAAUAUCGCCGAUAUUUUUGUUUUUUUUUACUUACCGAUAUUUUAAGGAGUAUCUAAUGAGUUUUCGUCAAAAUAUCGCGCUAUUUUUGUUUUUUUUUACUUACCGAUAUUUUAAGGAGUAUCUAAUGAGUUUUCGUCAAAAUAUCGCGAUAUUUUCGAUAAUAUCGCGAUAUUUCUUAUAAUAUCGCGAUAUUAGCUAAAAUAUCGCGAUAUUAGUUCAAAAAUUCCUUAAAAUUUGGAAAAGACUCGGUUUUGAGCAUAAAGGGGUUCGAACCCCUCCCCCUUAACUUCUUAAGGCCUUAACCACUGUACCACUUAUGUUGUUAUGAUAAUAAGCUACAAUAUUUAUAUAUAUGGUUUAUUUUUAAAGAAACAAAUUUGCACAUAUUCCAAAUUUUUUGUGGUAUUAUAUUUUAAAUUGUGUCAAUUAAUUACUUAGUCAAUGGCAAGUGGUUUUUAAUUUUUCUAUUUUUUAUUUGGUCAAGGGCUGGAAAAAAUUCCGGAAAAUCCCAAACCAAACCGAAAAAGUCCCAAACCCAAACCGAAAAAUCCCAAACCAAAACCAUCCUGAAGUUCGGGAAUCCCAUCCCGAAAAAUACCGAAAUUUUCGAUAUGGGAUUGGUUUCCAAAUCCCAUUUGUUUGGUAAUCCCGAAAAAUACCGAAGUAUUCGGUUUCCUAUUGACUUUUGGGUUUUGGUUCUUGAAAACCAUUGCCAUAGUUGGUAACUACUCUUCAAAAUACACUCACUCUACACAUAGAGAUGAUGAAGAUAUUGAAAAUUUUGAACCUCAUAGGAACUCUAUGUGGUACUAAGCCACUCAUGCAUCUUACCAUGCAAUGUAUAAAGUGUAAAAUAUUGUACUAAUUCAUUAUAUAUAAAUGAUUAUGGUGUGUUUAGACUUCUUUCAUUAAUUUCUACAUAUUUUCUAUAGUCACAAUGUUUGUCAGCUCGCUAUAUAAUCAACUUGAUAAUGUUAAAUUCAUCAUGCAAUGCAUUUCCUUCCAAUUUUUUGUGAUAAACUAAUAGAUAAUUGACUAAAUAAACAUCCUGCAAAGUUUCAAUAAAAAUUUCCAAGUUUUUCUUACAAUUUCCGUGGUUUCCAUGUAAUUUUUAUCGAUAUCGAUAUUAUCCCGAUAUUUCCAUCGAUAUUUCCGUGUUUUCGGACUACCGAUAUUUCCGAUAUUACCGAUAUUUUCUUCCUUGCCCGCAACAACGAAAGAGAGGGAGAGAUGAUAGGGUAAUGAUGGUGAAGAUGGUGCAGGUACGGGGUUGGUAAUGGGUGUGGCUCAUGGGAGAAUGAGAGGGAGAGAGAUAAGAGAGAGAGCUACGGGAGAGCUAAGAGACUGAAAGAGAAAGGUCUCGGGUUUGGGGGGACAGAAAGAGAGAAAAUGGAAGUGAGUUAGAUUGCUGCCACGUGGUAGUUUGGGGUAAAAAUAACAUAUAACACCAAUAAUUGGGGGUGGUUGUAACAAUCUACCCCCUUAAUUUCGUCCUCAAAAUUGCGAAGUUACACAAAAAGAAAGGGAUAUUGAUUCCGCAUUGAUUCCUCUAUUUCCCAAAUAGCUUCUUCGACUGCAUGGUUCCUCCACAGUACUUUUACCAAAGGAAUAACUUUGUUCUGCAUCACUUUAUUCUGUCUGUCAAGAAUAGCCACUGGUUCUUCUACAUAGCUAGCAUCCAGAUUUACUUCCAACGACUCUAUCUGGAUGAUAUGAGAGGGAUAUGGUACAUAUUUCCGAAGCAUGGAAACAUGGAAAACGUUAUGGAUCUGUGACAACUCCGUUGAUAGCUCAAACCUAUAAGCAACUGCACCAAUUCUCUCAAUAAUCUGAUAGGGACCUACGAAUCGAGGACUCAGCUUUCCUCCCUUACCAAAAUGAACAACACCAUUCCAGGGAGACAACUUCAAGAAUACAAAGUCGCCCACUAUGUACUCACGAUCAUUGGAGUGUUUGUCUGCAAUGUUUUUUCUGUCGGUCUUGUGUUGCUUUCAAAUUCACCUUAAUCAGUUGGGUAUUACCAUUGGUAGGACCAGAUAUUGUGGAUACCACUAACGGUAAUAUCCAACUGAUUAAGGCGAAUUUGAAAGCAGCACAAGACCGACAGAAAAGCAUUGCAGACAAACACUCCAAGGAUCGUGAGUAUACAGUGGGCGACUUUGUAUUCUUGAGCUGUCUCCCUGGAAGGGUGUUGUUCGUUUUGGUAAGCAAGGAAAGCUGAGUCCUCGAUUCGUAAGUCCCUAUCAGAUUAUUGAGAGAAUUUGUGCAGUUGCUUAUAGGUUAUAGCUACCACCGGAGUUGUCACAGAUCCAUAACGUUUUCCAUGUUUCCAUGCUUCAGAAAUAUGUACCGAAUCCCUCUCAUAUCAUCUAGAUAGAGCCAUUGGAAGUAAAUCCGGAUGCUAGCUAUGUAGAAUAACCAGUGGCUAUCCUUGACAGACAGAAUAAAAUGAUGCGGAACAAAGUUAUUCCAUUAGUAAAAGUACUGUGGAGGAACCAUGCAGUCGAAGAAGCUACUUGGGAAACAGAGGAAUCAAUGCGGAAUCAAUAUCCCUUUCUUUUUGUGUAACUUCGCAAUUUCGAGGACGAAAUUAUUUUAAGGGGGUAUAUUGUUACAACCACCCCUAAUUAUUGGUGUUAUAUGUUAUUUUUACCCCAAACUGCCACUUGGCAGCAAUCUAACUCACUUCAUUUUUCUCUUUUUUUGUCCCCCUCAAACCCGAGACCUCACUCUUUCAGUCUCUCAGCUCUCCCGUAGCUCUCUCUUUCUCAUCUCUCUCAUUCUCAUUCUCCCAUGAGCCACACCCAUUACCAACCCCGUACCUGCACCACCUUCACCAUCAUUACCCUAUCAUCUCUCCCUCUCUUUCAUUGCUGCGGAACACAGAAGAACCCAGAGAAACUCUGCAGUGAGAUUUUCCCUAUUUCUCUGGUUAGGUAAGGUAGAAUCCCUUUUUAAUUCGCCAUUGAUGUUGUUGGAAGUUGUGUGAUGAGAUUUAUAUUGUUUUUCUAAGGUUUUGAAGAUGAGAACGGUGCCGGGGAAGCACACCCAUUUUUCCGGCGAACCCAUGAGCUUCGAGGUAAUUUCAGGUCACCUCCGGCCGUGUCACAGUUAUUUAAGGGUAGCAAUCUCUUCCCCUCAUCUUGCUCUUCAUGUUCGUACUUAGAUCGGGGUCUAGAACCCUCGUUUUUAGGUGACCGGAGCUGUAGCAGCUCCGACCUUCUUCUUCGACAAACCCAGGCCUUUCAGGCCGAUUAGCACCCACGGGCCUUAGCCGUUUUGGGCCAACCCAGUACCCCAGCUCGCAUCCCUUUUGUUUUUAAAGACCCAAAGGGCCUUAGGCCAUUUCCUUUUAAUUAGGGCUUAAAGCCUAGCCCUUUUGUGAGGCCUUAGGGCCGGCCUUUGUGUGGUGUGUGUGUUGUGCAGCCCGUGUGUGUGUGUGUGUGUGUGUGUAUUUAGUGUGCGUGUGUGUGCGUGUAUAUUUAGUGUGUGUGUGUGUGUGUGUAUGCAUGUCAUGCAUGCAUGUGCAUGCCGUGCAUGUGUGUGUGCUUGUGUUGUGUGGUGUGUGUGUGUGUGUGUGUGUCUGUGUGUUUGGGCUUAAGCCCAAACCACAUUUCUUCACCCUAAAGCCUUUUUAACCCAAAAGCCUUAGGAUUCUAAAACCCAUUAGACCCUAACCCAUUCAACCCAAAUCCCUUAAUUUAUUUAGUUCAAGCCCAAAUCUUUUAGAAAAUCCUUUUAUUUAUUUAUUACAUUUUUGUGCUUAGGUGAAGUUGCUAGUGAGGAAAUUCCUAAUCCUUAUCCGCACAACUCUUCUGGUAAAGAAUAUUUGUGAGUGGACUACUUCUAAAAUUACAUGAUUUUAUAAUUUAAUUGCAUAAAUGAUUAGCAUGUCUACGAGUUUAUGAUUUGAUUUAUGUUAAGCCUGUUUACUGAAGAUAUUGAUUUUCGUCUCGUGUUUUUGGUGAGGAAUUAAUUUGUUGGCCUAUAUUGAGCUAUAUUUUAAUAUAUCGUAUUUUCUAUAAAAAUCAUGAACUGGUAGACUAUCCGAUGGAUUACGAUAGGAUGCUAGGAUAUGUUUUAGAAACCCCUCUUUAUAGUAUAGACGAUGGAUGACUUUAUACUAUGAAGUGGUUAUUUAUGAGAGACGUAACUAUUUGUGCGUACCUAGAGGACACUAUGCAUCCUGGGGCGAGGAUCUGGUGUUGGCAGAUAGGCCUGGAGAAAUAAUCCCUAGCUACGGGCUGAGGGAAACGGAGCAGCCAUUGGGCCGGAAGUUGGUAAUCUCUGGCUACGAGCGUAGAGACCACGGAGCAAGCAUUGGGCCGGCAGUUAUAUUUAUUCAGUGAUAUUUCUAGCAGUACACCGCCCUUACGAGACGAUCUAUUAGACAUUUACUGUUUUGAUUUCUACGACAUUAUUCCGCAAUAUGACUUUUGAGAUAUUUUGGGAUGCUAGGAUUUUUAUUAAAUCCAUCACGUAUUAUGCUAGUAGUUUUCAUUAUAUAAACUGUGGGGGUUAGUACAUUGAUAACUGUUUUAUUAUUAUUGUAUUUAUGAAUUUGGUCCACUCACCUUUGUUUUACGCUCCCAUUCAGGUCUUAAAAACGAGGACUACGACUCAACGUAUGAGGCAUUCCCCUACCAGUAGCAAUUUAUCACCCACUUGUGUGAUAUCUUGUAAUGAUCUUUCCUUUUUGUAAAUCUUGAAUUAGUUUGUGUUCUUUGCACUAUAGACACUUAUUUAAACUUUGUUUAUUACUCUUAAAUUCUAAUGUUUAUUCAUGAAUAUUUUCUCCUAAUCAUUACUCUUGUAAUCAAUUAAUGGCUUUCGUCACCAUUGGGUGUCGGCCAACACGUGUCUAUUCUGGUAUUCGGGGAAUAUCAGGGUCGGGACGUGUCAGAUUGGUAUCAGAGCAUGGUUAGGGUUUCUUUCCAUCAAUUUGGUAAAUUUCUAUUUUUCUAAAUCUCGUUGUCUGUUUCAGAAUCAUGGCUAAUCCUGGUGGGAAUGUGCCUCGAUGAACUCGUACUUCUAUAAUGGGGGGAAUUCAGCAGUUUACUAAUGCUUUAAUGAAUGCUCUUCCGGGUCAUAGACCGAAUCGGACGUAUUUAGAAAUUGCUAGAAGUCAUGGAGUUACUGAAUUGAAAUCUGUGGGGAAUGGUGAGGAGACUAAGCAGUGGUUGGAGAAAAUGGAGGAUACUUUAGAGGCUGUGAAGUGUCUUCUAAUUGAGUGGGCAAACACUGUAGGUUUCUUUAUUCAGGGUGAUGCUAGGAGUUGGUGGAAAUUAACGAAGGAAUCUCGUCCACCUGAUUCUUGGAUGACUUGGGCUGCCUUCAGGAAACGUUUUAUUUCUUACUUUCUAAGCCCCAACAACAGAUUGAGGAAGAGGCAGAAGUAUUUAAAGUUCCGACAAGGUGACCUCAGCAUCACAAAAUUUGACAGUACUUUCAGGCGCUUGGCUAGGCAUCAUGAUGGGACUUAUGAUAAUUCGCAGACACAGAUGGAUCAGGCGAUAAUUGCACUGAACCAGGAGUACCGUACAUUGGUAGCUGCUUAGAGACCCAAAACUUAUGAGGAUGUAAUCGAGAUAAGUCUGAGUAUAGAACAGUCUAAGUGGGAUACAGAGAUACAAGAUCAACCUCAGAUCUGGAUCCAGCCCUAAAGACAGAAUAGACAGCGGAAUCAAAAUCAGAGGAAUCGGAAUUUCCGGUCGUGUAGUGCCAGAGAAUCAGUGGGCCCCUCCAGUUCUGUAGGUCCCAGACAUUUUUUUUUCUUUAAACGAUCAGGUUGGGCUCAGGGUCUUCUGGUGAAGGCUGAGGCAACGAAUCGGCGAGACGAUCUUUCAGUCAUUUCACUCCGGGUUAUUCAGUCUGUAAUCAAUGUGGGUUACGUCAUCGAGGGAGUUGUGGGAUAACUGCUGUAGUUUGUCACAUGUGCGGUGGUACCGGGCAUUUUGUUCAUGAUUGUCCUUCAGCACCACCUGGUAAUUUUACCUUUGGCUCAAACUACGGUGGUGGAGCGGGUCCGGGAUGUGGUGGAACCCGGGUCGGGAUGUGACAUUAACACUUUGAAACAAGAAAUUAAAUCGAUCUCCAAAAAUCCAACCCCCACAUUGGAUCAGGAUCUAUCACCAUCUCGUGGUGCCUUGCUUAGAUCGGCUCUGCACUCAUCAUCGAGACUCUGCCUUCACAGAGGACUCCCGCAUAUCCCACCACCAAUAAAGGUAAAGCACGGCCACCUCUCCCUUUCUUCGUUUUCAUGGCCGAAUGUCAAAUCAAGUGACUCUGACUCAUGCAUGUGUGUAUUCUGUAAAGGGGUUUCUCAAUCUGUUGUCUGUACUGAAGAAAAGGAGAAUGGGGCUCUCGAAAAUUUCAUAUCCGAGAAAAGACAAAGGUAUAGAUUUUGUUUAGUUUCUUUGUAUCUUUGAAUUCAUUGGAUUUGAUUCUUAUUGUUAUUCCAUUUUGUAGUUCUUAUCAAGUACAUACAUAUAUUAAAAAGGUAUUGAAUUGGUACCUCUUGAUCAUCGAGUAUAAUAUUUGUAGGUGCAAAAUCAUUUUGGGUCUGCAUGCAACCAAGCUUCUCUGUUGCAAACCAACAGAUUGAGAGAAUAUUAUGACCAAUUUCAAAAUUUCAGAGGUUUGUUUUGGUUUUUUAUCAUAUUGGACUUGAAUUUGCUUUAUUGUUGUUUGAUUAUAUUGAAAUCAGACUUUGGGUUGAGACUUUUAUUUGGAUUUGAUUAUAAUUUUCUAUACUAAUUAGCAUCUGGGUUGUGAAAUUUCUUAUUCUUCCUUUUUGGUGUUUAUCUCCUCUGUCAUCAUCAGUUUUGGUGCUUAUGUUGGGCUUUCAUUUUUAAAUUUUUUUAACAAGACUUUAAGGACAUCUCAAGGUGCAGCGGUAGAAUCAAACUCUCGAGGUUUAGAUUUUUUUUCCCUUCUUUUGUUUUGGAAUAAUUUUUCGGGUUUCUUCUCGCUUUUAUUAUGAAAAUAAGAGAUUGAUAAGAUGCAUAGGAGGCUUCCAUCUUUCUAUCUUUCAACUAUUUGACAAUAAACUAUUGUGGGCUAUGCGUCAAAUUCUUGUGAAUUAUGAAAUUGUUUGUCACACUCUAUUUUUAUAAGGAUUUUUUUAUUGGUCGUGUGAACCUUUUUGUGCAACCCCUUUCAUAUUACAAUUGCUAAUUUAGCUUUUUCAAUUUUGCAGUUGUGUUUGGUUACUCCAUCAAAACUCCUACUCAAACUGUUUUGUUCUCAAAACAAUGUCAUAAAAUAACAAUAGUGAACCACUAACAGAACUUCAACUCAAAUUGUUCUUGGGUUGCUGAUAAAAAGGUUUGAAAAGAAAAUAAAAUAACAGAACUUAAAUCUUAGCUUUUAAUUGGCUAUAAUGGAGAGAGUUAUCCUGUAAUUUUGCUUAAGCAUAAUUUAAUUGACAGACUGAUUUGGGUUGUUCUAUAAUUCUUUAGUAAUAGGAUCCACUAAAAUCAUGUUAUUCAAAUUUGUACCUUUUUUUUUCCAGUCUUCUCAGCAACCAAAUGGAGGGUUAUGUAUUUUGGAAAUAUUUAUAUGCAUUGAAUUAGGUAAAAUUUUGGUUUUUUGUUCAAUUUGAAAUCCAAAAUAAUAUAGAAGAUAAGAAUAAUUUUUGUUUUAGAUUUCUUCAGAACUGCUGGAGUUUGGAUUUGCAUAUGUUCAGGAUAUUUAUUUGUUUGAUCUUAUGGAUAUUUAGGUAUGAAUCGGCAGAAGAUUGUGCAGACAAUGAUGAAGCAAAGCAGGUUAAUAAGUGACAUUUUCUUUGUUCUUUAUUGUGCUAUAGAUUGGAAUUUAUCAUUGUACAUUAUUUUUGAAAAUUUUUUAUGUGCAAUUUUAUUGUUGGAUUUUCUGCUGUGUAUGAGAAUCAUUUGAAUGCUGAGAACCUAUUAUAUUCGCAACGUGAUAUAAGAGGUCAACACCUUCAUCAGUAUGUAAGUUUCUCUAAUAAAUACUUUGGACAAAUGCUUUAUGAAUUUGAGUUUUUAUCUUUUGAUUAUUUUUUGCAGAGGUGGUAUUAAUUUUCCUUUUACUAGAAAUUUAGAGGCUUAAGGUACAAUGUUAUCAAACUCAAUUUUUCUAAUUUUUUGAUUCUGGGGUACUGCAAAGAGUGCUAAUAUACUGUUUUUUCUAGGAUUUUUGGUCUUUGAAAUGGGUAUGUUAUGUUUUUAACGUUUCGGUUCUCAUAUGUUCCACUAUUUUAUCUGUUGUUUGCCUGCUUCUGCGUUGCUUCUUAAUUUUCAUUUUUCAACGUUGGGUGAUGGAAAUUUGUAAAAAUAGUUGUACUUUCUGAAAAAGUUGGGGGUUUUAGGGGUUUUAGUUAUAUUUCCUCUGUAAUCCCAAUUGUAAGACUUAAAAAAUAAUUGCAAUGAUGGUUUUUUUUUAUUCAAUUUCUCUUGAAUGUUUUUUCUUGAAUUUAAAAGCAUCUUUCCAGAUUGGUUACAAUGAUUAUGUUCUCUCUAAUUAGUUCUUUUAUAUUCUCUUCAACCUUUUUGUCUAAUUUUAUUUUUCAUUUUUUGUGUGGCUUUCUGUAGAAAUUAGCAUGAGAUUUUCAGAUGACAUGGAUGAUGAGUAUGAGAAACUCAUCUGGGGAAUGAACCCACCAAGGUACAUGCAAAAAUCAUUCCUUUGGGUUCAUAUAGAAGUAUGAAUUUUCUUUUAGCAUAUAACAUUGACGCAAUAAUUUAUCUCAUGGAAUGUAAGAUAUCUUAUGAACUUUACCUACCUAGCAAACAACGGCUGAUGUCACUUUCGAGAAGCUGAGAUCAGCUUACGGCAUGUCACAACAGUCCCACAAGCAGACGCCCAAACUGUAUACAUCACAUAAGGCAAGUUUCAAUCUUUUUAGCUUCCAAUUAAUAUUUCAUGCUAAAAUUUGAUUGAAUUUAGUUUGGGUGUUUGGUUUCAGAUUUCUCGAGUCGAAUUGCAACCUGGGUAUGAGGAAAAAAAAAAAAACAAAGGAUUUGAUCUUUGGUUACAAGGUGACUUCACCUCUCUCUUUCUGAAACUCAAUUUUGAAGUUGUUGUCCAUAUUUAUUUUUUCACUAUGGCAUAGGUCCUCUAAAUAUCAGCUUUUUAUUUUGUCUUAUGGUUUUAUCAUCGUAUAUCAUGGUUGACUGUCUUUGUUUUCUUAUGCAGUUGCAUGGAGAGCUAUGCAAGGUACUCUCUGCAAUUUAUUGCAAAAUAAUGUCAAUGUCAAUUUUUCCUUCUCUGGAAGUAGCUCGACGUAGGACAAGUUUGGUAUCCAAACUGUUCGUUGCAUGUAGCACUUGAAACGACUUAAGAAUGUUCUUCAGCAUUGCUCAGAAUGUAGUGAACAUUAUUUGGUAGGUAUUCCCUCAAUAUUGCAUUUGUAAUUUAUGCAGUAUUGCUACACCAACUUUUCAAGUAAAAAAUUAUUUCCCCCCUCUAUUCUGGUGUUUAAAUUUGUUUCAUUCAUGAUGAGUUUGUGUAUAAAUUGUACUGUGUGUAUAAUAGGCAAAAUAUUUUUUAUUGUUUAAGCUAUAAUGGAAUCGCAAAUUUAUCAAUUAUAUCCUAGAUUCUUGGUUGCAUAUUCACCUACCCACAACUAUUGCCUUCUGUUUCUUGAUUGGAUAAAUUUUUAUAAUUUCUAGAUCUACUAUUGCAAUGCUUUUGCCGUGUUAAAGUGGAGUUGCAUAUCAUUUUUUUGGUUCACGAAAUUCAUUAUCUGACUAGCUUGGCAAUUAAGUGAUGUAUUUUAUCCGCUCAGGUGAUGUCAAUGGAUCUUGAAGUUGUUGCAGCAAGCUUUAAUUCAUCAGUGUCUCGAUCAUUGUUCCUAUCUGUUGGUCGAAUGGUGAUGUGAGUUAUAUAUAAUUUUAAAUUUUACAUCUUGAAGACUAAUCUUAAGUUGUUUAAUGAUGUUUAUGAAUGCCCUUUAGAUUUCCACAUUUGUUGGUUUCAUUUCUGUAGUUCUAUGGGUGACACGAUUAGAGGUACCAUAGGAAGUUGCAGAAUUUCAUGCGCACUAUUAAGGUUGGACUCUUACUCCCACACACCUCAUUUUUCUUGAAUGUUGACCGGGUUGUAAGUAUUGCUAUUUCUAUAUCAGUUUGUUGAAAUUGGCAAAAACAGCAUGGUUAAGGGGUGGUUUGGGAGUGAGGUGCUUAAAAAAAACACUCAUGAAAAAAAGUUGUGAGGGUUUUAGGUGUUUGGUAAACUAAAAAAAAAAGGCUUAUUUUGGAAGCUGCUGUGAGAAUAAGCUGAAAUCAAAGGAAAAAGCUGAAGCUGCUAUUUGCAGCUUUGGAAAACUGGCUUUUUUUCAAAGCACACGGAGCUACAGUGCUCCUUUAAUGAAAAAACCCACUAUCAGACUGCUUUUUUUUUCAAAAGCACUUUUACAAAAAAGUUUACCAAACACUCUGCUGAUUUAUUUUACAGCCGCUUAUUCUCACAGCACAGUCGCUUAUUCUCACAGCAGCUUUUUUUCAAAGCACAGCGAUACCAAACCAGCCCUAAGUAUGAGUUCGAGAAGAAAACUGGCCUUGUAGUUGUAAGAUUCUUCUUUUUCUUCAAUUACAGGUUGCAUGUCUAAUUUUGUUGAAUUGCAACUUAAUUGAUGAUUAUCCUUCUAGAUGAAUUGUAACUCAAUUGAUUUUAAUUUUUGUUUUCCAACUUAGUUGAUAUGGAAACUGAACUUUUUAAAACCAUAUUCUAUUCCGUUAUAUUACACUAUUGCGUUUGGACUAGCAAUUUUCAUAAGAUGUCACCUAUAAAGUUUGUUGCUUAAUCAUGUCAUAUAUUUUUAUGUUGGAGAUUAUGUAGGUGCUUAGUAUGACGAAAUGGCCCUUGGUUAACUGAGGCGGAAUUCAUGUUCAAUCACCAAAAGUAGAAAUGUUUGCUUCUUUGUUCAAGCAUUUGUUCAAUAAAGAUUGUGGGCAUAGUUGGGAUAGCAUCUCUCACCACUUACGUUUACCAUGCCGCUUUCAUGUUUUUGUACCCAAUUUCAAUUAUCUAAUUAUUAAGAACUUUUUAUUAUAUUUGUUUUAUGAAGAGAAUAAUGUUGCUUACUUUUUCAUACAAUUUUCACUCAUGCGGCAACGCGCAGGUGCAAUUUCUAGUAGAAACUAGACCUUACUAAGAUGUACAAAAAUUGGAAGGACACCUCAGGAAAUGGGUCUGCUCUUAUGUGGCGUUUACUGUUUGGUUUAUUUGGCGUACCAGGUGCGAGUUUGUUUUUAAUCAGGUUCCCAUUCUUCCUUUUAAGGUCCUGUUGGGGGUGUCUUCGGCUGUCGGGGCUUUCUGGGAAGCCAUGGGAUGGUCUGGAGGUGGUGCAGCUCGGCCCUCUGCCCGCUGUGGUCCGAUUCCUCUAUGGAUCCCUCCUCCUGAUUCUUUUGUUAAAAUUAAUGUUGAUGCUAGUUGGUCCCAUGCAUCUCGUUCGGGUUUUGCUGGUGUGGUCAUUCGUGAUGCUUCUGGUCAGUUUGUGGCUGUUGAGCGUUUUGCCUUGUCUACUCCCUCUGUUGCGGUGGCUGAAGCGACGGCUUUGCUGUGUGGCUGUAAGUUGGGGUCCUCGUUGGGCUUUAAAUCGGUAAUAGUGGAAUCGGACUCUAAGGAGUCCAUUGAUUGGCUUUCUGGAGAUGUUGAGGUUGGCAGUUGGAAAGCCUUUCCUGUCCUGACGAGAGUUAAGGUGGAGAGUGAUGCUUUUCAGUUCUGUCGCUGGUCUUGGGUGCCAAGAUCAGCCAAUGGUGCCGCUGACUUUCUGGCGUCGCGGAGUUUUCCGGAGAUGGGUUCUCGGGUUUGGGUUCACAGGCCCCCAUCUUCUCUGGUCUUUGUUUUGAAUAAGGAUGGUCUUCCUUGCCCUCCUUAAUUUUGUUUUGGUGGUGGUGGGGGUGACGCUCGUUGCUGGUGCGUCUGCUUGGUGUAUCCCCUAUCUCUUCUUUCUGUGUUGUUUGCCCUUGUGGUGUUAGCCUCCUGGUAGGCUUCCUGUGCUGUUUGUUUGUUUGUUCCUCCUUUCAAAAAAAAAAAUUGGAAGGACACCUAGGUUCAAGCCAAAAAUAUUGGGAGCAUGAAUUUUUAAAAUUUUGGUAACAAGAGACGAAGAUUAUAAUAAGAAUCCAAUGAGUAAUUUCCAAUAUGUAAAUUUACUUAAGCCAAAAAAGAGAGGCUGAAAAUAGAGAAAAAAUGGCUCACAAUGCAUGCUGGCUCAUGAUUGUAAGGGUAUUUGAAUGCAUGCUAAGCUACUAAGCUUCAUACACUUUAAGUGUGGGAAUUUUGUGUUGAAUUGAAACCAGUGUUGGUAAUUUGGUAUUGAAAUAAUGCAAGCUUAUGAAUGUUGUGUUUAAUUGGUAAUUGUAGACAUCGAAAUUUCGGUAAAUAAAUGUUGACCGAUAAAUCAAAGUGUCAACACUCAUGUAUUACAUAAAUUUUACACGUAGCGUGUGACUCAACGAAAAUUGAAAUGAGUUGGAAAAGUCAUCAAACAGGACACGUGUCAACACCUGGCAGAAAUGACUUAUUUCAUCUGGGAUAUUAUAUUCAAAAUUAGGCCUUGGAAAAUUCUAUAAAUACAAGCCCAUUUCAUUCAUUUGAAUGGGAGGGACCAAUUCAUAUUACACCUUGAAGCUCUGAAGCUCUGAAACUCCGAAGCUCUCAAGCAUCCAGGUUCCCGAAGAAUCAAGAAAGUGUUCUUCGUUCUUCGUUCUUCGUUCAUCGUUCUUCCAAGAUCAAGCCCCAACGGCCCUUUGGAUCAACAAUCAUCCACCAAUUCAAGAUCAAGCCCCGACGGCCCUUGAAGAAAGCACCAUCGUUCAUCAACAGUUCAUCCAAGAUCAAGCCCCAACGGCCCUUUGGAUCAACAACGUCGACAAAUCCACACACAUUCAACCGUUCUUCAAGAUUAAGCCCAAAAGCCCUUGAAGAUCUGUUCAUCACUGUUUCUUCAAGAUCAAGCCCAAAAGCCCCUUGAAGAUCCGUUCAUCACCGUUAUUCAAGAUCAAGCCUCAACGGCCCUUGAAGAAACACUCAUCCUCAAGACCAAGCCCCAACGGCUCCUUGAAGAUUCGCUCAAAUCCACCUUCAAAGAUCAAGCCCACGGCCCUUUGAAGAAACUUCCAACAGUUCAUCCAAGAUCAAGCCCCGACGGCCCUUGGAUCAAUCGCACAUCCAUCACAAAUACACACCUUACGGAGAUCGAAUCAGAGGAUCAAAUUAGAGAGAGAUUGUAACCCAAAAUCAUCAAAUACGAAUAUUUGUUUAUGCACGUCGUUCUUGUCUCUUUCGUUUCAGGAAUUUUCCGGAGAUCGAAUCAGAGGAUCAAAAUAGAGAGAGAUUGUAACCCAAAAUCAUCAAAUACUUAAUAUUUGUUUGUGCACGUCGUUCUUGUCUCUUUCGUUUUUAGGAAUUUUCCGUGUUCACAGUAAUAUGAGAGUAGUUCAAUUUCUUAUAAGCACAUGCAAGAUCCCUUAUUUUCCCAAUGUGAGAUUCACUCUCAACAUGUUCCCUCACAUAUGGUGGGUUUUCAAGUCUAACAUGUGGACAACAAAAAUCGGGUGACGUGGAGCACGUGUGACCGUUAAGCUUCACAUAGGAUAACAUGCUCUAAUAUCAUGAAGAAAGUUAUGGUUCCACCACAAAACUAAUUGACGAUAUAUAAAGUAGUCUAAUCUCUUAUAAGCACAUGCAAAAUCCCUAUUUUCUCUAAUGAGAUUCACCCAACAUAAGCGUUAGGUAAAAACAACUAUUGAUGUGGGCACAUGUUUUAAAUAUACCAAAUGUUGUAUAACAGAAAAACAAACAACUCAUGAAUUAUCUUUGUGUGUAGUGACCAUGGUUGUCCCAAAGUCUUUCAAGAAAAAAGCAAAACAAAACAAAACUGCAAAUGAAUUGAUAGAAAAACAGUUUCUUUGGAAACAAAGUGGGAGUAAGUCUGCAAUCAAUAGACGUUCCCUCCUCGAUUCUUGUAAAGCAGGGAGCCUUGUUGGCUUGGGCUCGCCCUCACUGCAUGCAUCUUCUUUGCAUUGGAAACGUAUACAACAGAGCAAUCAUCUACCAAUUCAUUAGCAAUAUAUUGUUCUUUUCUCUCAGGAUACUAAAAAGCCUUUAACUUAUGCAAAUAAGGAAUGCCCUAUCGUCGGCGUCUCCGCUGCAAAGGAGAUGGAUUAAUUGAGGAAGAUAAAAAAAAAUAAAAAUAAAAUAAAAGCAAAGAAAAAUUGACACAGUUAUGUCAUAUUAGUGCAUGACAUUGAUAAAAAACUUAAAAUAGGAAUAAGAAGCCGAUUCAAUCGGCGUUAUAAUUCUUAAUUACAAAGGAGGGAGUGGAUUCGACAAAGCAGAAGGAAUAGUACUGGAUCUCUGGUGCAAAGGGGGAAGGGGAAGGGGAGGAUCGAACUCUUGUUCUCCACAAUUGCCAAUCUUUCCUAAGCUAGUCUCUUUUCCAACCUAAGAUGUCAUGUCACAGCUCGUCCCAAAAUAUUAUAAUUCUAGACGUGAGAUUACUUAUUUACCCUUGUAUGUUUUGUGUGGUUUUUGUGGGUGAGGUUUUAUAUGGAAAAAUUCUAAAUUUUUCCUACGUUUUUGGAACACUUAGGAAUUAUUUUGAUUGUUUGGUUUUGGUUGAGGACCACAUGUGCCACACAAACAUACACAUUUUCACUCUCUCUCUCUCUCUUCUUCCCGUGCACUCUCUCUCUCUCCUCCUUCUUGACUUUCUCCUGUUUUCGUCAACCUCGUACGGACGAACCGCAAGUUCACCAUUCACACACGGAUCAACAUUAAAAAGGUAAGGAUCUUGUUCCCUACAAGCUUUUGAGUACAUUCGUACCAUUUUUAGGACCUGGAAACCUUAAAAAACCCGAGAACUCUAACCUCCAAUUUGGUGCACUGUUCAUGCACACGUAAAUGUGAAGGUUUCAGUGGAUUUUAAGCUCACAGGGAGCUUUAGAAGGUCCCUACGAAGCUCGGAGAAGAAAAACCAAGCAAUUUGGACGUCAGAAUCGUCAGUUUCAAGCUUGACCGGUUUUUCUCGAAAUUCUUCGGUGAUAUCCUAUGGGAUUUAGGUCCUAAAACUGGUAUGGGUUUGUUCUACUUGUUCUAAGCUUCAUUUUGACAUUUAAUUCGUGAAAUUUGGUUGAAAAUCGAGCAAGAUAUUAAGGUUUAAAGAUUUCCCAGUUUUCGUCGCCAGAGUCCUAGGGUUAGGGGUGACGGAAUAUUCUAUCAAAAUUGACAGAAUAUUCCUAACGGCGUUGGUCAGUUUUAAUGGUUUCCGUUACUUUUAACGGAAUAUUCCUAACGGCGUCAUUGUUACCGUCAGUGUGCUUGGCAUGUAUCCGCGUGUGGGAGGCGCGUUUGGCCAUGCCUUGGCCGGCGUGUGGGUGGUCAGAAAUUUAAAAAAAAAAUAUGGGAAUGUUCGUGAAGUUGUGUAGAUCACGUUGGUAUAUUCAAACACCCUAUUUGAGCAUUGUAUGAGAAGUUAUUAGCUAGUAUUGGUUAGGUGCUUUAAAUUAACGUUUAUUCAGUUAAUUCGCAUAUAGGUGAGACUUAUCCUGAUGACGAGCGCAGUCAAGGGCGACUCGGGGGCUACGACCCUUCGACAUACCAGUUAGUGGGCUUUUGGUUUUCAGUAUAUAUUUAUAUACUUGUUAUUUUCCCAUAAAAUGCGUUUAAAUGAAAGUAUGCCUUGAAUGCGUUGCAUAUAAAAUUAUAUUUUGUAAAUGAAAUAGUAUAUGAUGCAUGAUAUAUAUAAUUGUGGUGUUGUGGAUGCUUAGGUAAGCCCAUGUGAGUUAUGUAUUGUGAUGUGAUUUAAGUUGUGAUUAAUUGAGAAACAUAGAGCUCAUAAACCUGCACCUAGGGUGAUUGUGAUUAGUCAGAGAUAUGGCACAUGCCUGUUAUUAAUGUCACCUCCCGCACCAUAUGCUCACAUUGGAUCCAAUUUAGGUGCACAGUCUUGUCGUAUAGACCAUCAUAGGUGGUUCCAACUUGUAGGUGACUAGCGAUUUAUCGUCCAUCUAUUAUGAGAAAGUAGUAUUGAGCAUAAUUAUAUUACACCCAAUAUUGUCGUACAGACCUUUUCAUUGGUUCCGACUCGAGUGCAGCAUAGUACAGUAUAGGUUAUUGUAGUGACUCCGGCUAGAUUUGAAUAUUGAGCUAUGAAUUCAGCCGAACAUACUUAUGCAGGAGUUCCGGCUAAUAUGUUAUAUUUCCAUGAAUUUAUUCUCACCUGAAUUACUUACUCUGUUAUAUCUUGGCAUGGCAUACUUAUGAUUAUGAAUAUGUGAAGCAUGAUUUGAAUUGAUAUAUUUUCAUAAAUAGUUAUGUAUAUGCUUAUAUUCUAUUUUCUAGGAAAAAUUAUACAUGUUUUACGACGAGGGGUUAGAAAUGUUGAGAAAUAAAAUGGUUUUGUAAAACAUUUGUUUUUGCCCACUCACGUUUUUUGUUUUGCGCCCCUCCAGGUUUUAGUAGACUACUGUUGGUGGCGUGCGAGGAUCCCAGCAGUUCUGACAUAUUAAAAUAAUUGUAGGACAUCUUAUAGUACUGUAUAAUUAGUACUUGUCAUACUGGACUGCACCUAGACUUUUUAUGCUCUGAUUAGGAGUAUUUACUUUUGUAUCUUACUCCUAACACUUUCUGUUUAUUAGUGCACUCUAGUAGUUUCGAUUUUUAAUUAUUCAUAUAUUUCUUAUCCUUAUUGCUUCCGUACUGUGCACAUGACUACGUCACCCUCACAUGACGACCAGCAUGCUCUGAUCUCAGUCGGGGUGUGUCAUGUCCACAAUUGUCAAUCUUUCUCAAGUGCGGUUUAUUUUUUCUCGAGUUAUUUAUAGGCAUAUGGCUUUUGAAUAGUAUCAUUACAUUUCUUAAUGAUAUUUUUCCAUCCAAUUUUACUAACAUGACCAACUUUUCAAUUUCCGAUUAAUGUCUCAUCUACACAAAUACUUAUAAAUGCCUCAAUAGUUGCAUUAUCCCAUAUUGCCUUACUCUUCUUUUCGUUAUUAUACCCGUGUUCAAAUUCUCUACACCUAUUUUGUGUGGUCUUUUAUUAUUGAUUGAGACGUAUUAAGUUUAUGACAACAGAGUUAAGAAGUAAGUUAUAAACAUGUGUCAAUCAAUGAUAAAUGCUACAAAAAAACCACACACAAAAUAAAUGUAGAAAAUUUGAAUUCAUUGUCCCCAUGUGCAUCUUGUGAAUCCUUAACCACAUUUUUUAGAUAUUUAUAUCUCGAGUAAGAGAAAGAGAACAAAAAAAACAUAGAACAUGAUGCACUAUUAAUUAAUUAUGUCCUAGUUAACUAGGCAUAGACCCAAAAUUACAAGCUUAAAAAUAAAAAAUAGGAGCAGUCAUAGAAAGCUAGCAGACACAAAGAACAAAUGAGAAAGAAAAGUAAUUUUAGGCCUUAUGACACCUCAUCUGUCAAUCACAAGUCCGAAGUACUAACGUGGGUUUAGAGUUUUCAAGUCAAAUUCAAUCAAUGCAUGAUGACUGGACCACUCAAUUUACCAGUUACGGGCAAUAGACAUUUGAAAUAAAACUAGCAUUUACAAAAUAGUUAAAUUCAAAUGUAUGUGCAUGAAGAUGGAGAGAGGCUUGGGAAAGAUGCAGACCAAGAGAGCGACUGCUUCAGUCUUCAGCACGAUAUGAAAAACUCACGGGUUUUUUUUAUAGAGAAUUUUAACGAAAAGUUUAUGGUUACUUGAACGAAAACUUAUAUUUUUACACUAAAAAGUCAAUCAUAAUAUUAUUCACUUUACCUUUUAUUUUAUCCUUAUUGUUAAAACUCAAAAUUUUCAAAUUAUUUUCAUUAAUUUUUAUUUUUUUAUAUAGCAGCGUUAAACCUAGAAAAAAUUGGUAAUUUUGAUAUUUUCUCAAAGUCUGAAGGCAUUUUAGACUUUCUAAAUAAAAAAUUAGGAAUAGUUUAGGAACUGAAAAAGUUUUAUUAAAGGGAGCCAAAUAAUUCUCGUGUUUUCACCCGGUAGCACAUUUAGGAGGAGGUGUUUCUUUAAAACCCACUCCAAUUGCUUCUAUUUUUAACUAAAACACUUGUUUGACAAAAAAAAAAAAAAAACCUAAGACACUUGUAAAUUUUUGGCCAAACAACCGUUUCCCAAAAUGAAAACGCUUUUAUGACUUAUUUGGAAGUAUUUUUAAACUGACUGAAAUCACUUUUAAAGAAAAAUAUUUUUAUGUCCAAAAGCACUUCAAGUGCUUUUACAAGAUUAACUUGCAUUUUUACUAAAGAUUAACUCUAAAAACGUUUUUACGAAAAUCACUUUCAGCCAAUUACAAAACACUUUAAAAAAAUGUCUUUAGUCACUAAAAAGCACUUUUAGGUUUAACUAUCCAAAGCACAUGCCAGCAAACCCUAAAUUUUUAACCCCUAUAUAUUGACCAACUAGGGUAACUUCUCAUCCUUUGUCAUCCCAAUAAGACUUGGCAUUUUGGACCCGACCUGUUAAACCGACCCGACCAGACCCGACCCGACCUGACCCGUUAAUAUUAGUAUUUUGGUGGAUACUUAACGGGUCGGGUAGCUAAUGGGCGGGUGAACCCGUUAACAACUCGUUAAAUAAUGGGUCACUUUGAGUCAACCCGUUAGACCCGUUAACACCUAUUAGUUGAGGAUGUUUUAGUAAUUUCAGUAAAGUCUUAACAAUAAAAAAUAAACUCUGAAAAAAAAAUAAUAAUAAUAAUUGUUAACGGAUGAAACGGGUGACUCGUUAGCUUAAUGGGUCUGGUUCGGAUGACCUGUUAACUUAACGGGUCGGAUUGAACCCGAUCCAAACUCGAUAAACCCGACCCGUUUACAGGUCUAAUCCCAAUUGUUGAUGCACCCUUUGCACCCUCCUACAUUGCUUCUUUCUCCUCACGAUCCUCGCAGUUUCCUCUUGAGGUAAUAAAAUAAUGAGUAAUGUUAGGAAAAUUAAAUUUGUAAACUAAAUUAACAAACCAAAUGAGAUGUCAUCAAUAGAAAAUAAGCACGUUUAUCAACAAUUAAUUAAUAAUCCAAUUACUAACUUCCAUGUCAUUUAGUUUACAAAUUUUAGUCUACAAAUUUAGCUUUCCUAGCAUUACUCUAAAAUAAUUAUCCAUUUUAUUUUAUUAUUUAUCCUCUUUCAACUCUUGUCACACAAACCGCAAAACUAGAAGCAACUCGUUAAUAAAGUAAAUUUAAAUAAUUAAAGAAGGGUGGUUUUAUUAGCACCCCACAAUAUUAUGUAUACACCCCACUUUCUUUUAUUUGAUUUGGACACCUUCUUUUAUUUGGUUUGGACUUCCUUUUUUACCCUAUUUAAAUUAGAUAAAAAGCAAACAAACAAAAUCAACAUCACCUUCCUUGCCAUAUUACUCCUCGACAGCCACCCACCAUGGUGGCACCUCCAUUAACAAAAUGAUCUCAAGUAUACCAAAACAUAUGCCGGCUUACAAUUAAACUCAUAGAAAGUCAAUUCAUAGUCACUUACAAUUAAAUUCAUAGAAAGUCAAUUCCUAGUUGACUAUAGAAGGAUCGCUUCUCUGCAAGUAUCAUUUUUCCAUAUUUUUCCCGCCCAUCAUGUAGGUAUCCUUGAUUAGGCUGAUUUCGGCAUUAAAAUUUCAAUUUUAUGGUAUUCCAUGUCUUGUAGAAUAUUAGCAGAAGUGAGAAUUCUAGAGAGAGAGAACGAUGGGAAUGAGGUGGCUAUCAUUGGUUGACGACAUUGACGAAGAAGGUGGCGGCGGGUGAGCGGUUGAGAUAGGGUAUUGGAAGGUUUUCAUUUGUUAAUUAUUGUAAAAAGGUGGGUUGUCUUCAAUAAAUAACAGCGCAAAAAUUGGAAUUUUAGAAAAUAAUUUUGAACUUGGGGUGUAUUCAUAAGAUCGUGUGAUGUUAAUAUAAGAACCCUUAAAGAAACACUAGCAGAAAAAGAAGCCCUAACCUUCUCUACUUUCUAGCUUCUAGAACCUUCUUUUGUUCCUGUGUUCUUUCCAGACCGUUAAACCCUAACCCUAAAGAUAUUUUAGGUUUUAGAUCUAGGGUUUUUGAGGUUUGGUGGUGACUGGAGCUUGGAUUUUAGUUUCAUUUGUUGACUAAUACUCUUAUUUUAAUUUUGAAGUUUUAACGAAACAUUCCCCAUACUGUUCAUUUUUAAUGAAAAACCACAUUUUUAUCUUUUUCUGAUACUAUUCACUACAUAUUUAUUUAUCAUUUUUCAUUAAAACUAAAAGAGUUAUUAUACAAAAUAGUCCCUGAGAUUUGCAUGAUCAAUAAAAAUGGUUCCUAAGAUUGAAAAUCAAUAGAAAUGGUCCCUGAGAUUGUCCACAAUCCAUGAUUUUGGUCCUUUCGUUAAAAACUCUUUGGGGAAUUUUCAAAGCUUUGUAACUCAAUUGUUUCUUAACCAAAUUCGACCCAUAAUAUAUCAAAAUGAAGAUAGGAAAGUGUAGAAUAAGAUUAUACCUAUUUGGAAGCCCAAUGAUUUCCAGAGAUGGCCGGAAAAUAGCCUGAAAUGUGACUGGUCCGCGGGAAAACUGGAAAACUCGCCGGAAACUGGGUAAACUUUAAACGUUCAUAACUUCUUCAAUACUCAACGAAAUCGAGUGAUUCAAAAACGAAAAUCAUACUUCUUGACGAGACUAAGAGCAUAGUACCUUUUCGAAGAUUAAAUAGCUUUGGUUUGGUCGGAAAAUGGCUCAAAAGUGGCUAACCAUUUUCGAGUUAGCCACUUUCGAGCAGUUUUCCGGCCAAAUCAUGGCGAGUCAGCAGUAAAAAAAGAUUCCAUUCUCUUUGUCUCAUCGAGAAUUAUGAUUUUCAUUUUUGAAUCACUCAACGCAUUUUUGAAUCACUCAACUGCGUUGAGUAUUGAAGAAGUUAUGAACGUUUAAAUUUUACCCAGUUUCCAGCGAGUUUUCCCGUUUUCCCACUGACCAGUCAUCUUUCAGGCUAUUUUCCGGCCAUCUCCGCCAAUCAUUGGGCUUCCAAAUAGUUAUAAUCUUGUUCUACACUUUCUUAUCUUCAUUUUGAUAUAUUAUGGGUCAAAUUUGGUUGAGAAUCGAUUGAGUUACGAAACUUUGAAAAUUGCCCAAAGAGUUUUUAAGGAAUGACUAAAAUCAUGGAUGAUGGACAAUCUCAGGGACCAUUUUUAUUGAUUUUAAAUCUCAGUGAUCAUUUCUAUUGAUCAUGCAAAUCUCAGAGAUUAUUUUCAAUCUCAGGGAAUCUGAUUUUGCGAGGGAGAAUGAGGUCGUGGGGGAUUUGGAAGGGAGGGUUUUGGGGAAAUUGGAGAAUUUUAGGGAAGAAGAAGAAGAACCGGAGUGGGGUUGAUGUACGGAUAGGAAAGAGAGAUGAGGCGUGGGAGGGUAGCGUUGGUUGAAACUUGAAAGCUGGAAAAAGUGGUGAGCGACGGAAAAGGUGGAGGAAGCUGGGAGUCCCAGGUGUCACAUAAUUCAUCCCAAUUUGACAGCAAGACAAAAGGCCAAACUCGGAAUACCAUAAAAUAAUCGGGGGUAAAAUCAGAAAUCCACUGUACUAUGAACAGUAUUUCAGUUCAUUUUCUCUUUUAGUAUAUAUAUAAUUUGAUGAGAUUAUGUUUUUAAGUAAAUGUUAUGUUCUUUACUAGGCUGUUUGGAUGCAAUUUGAUUACAUUUUCCGUUCGAUCUGCAACUAAUUUUCCUAUGCCUAUUGCAGCAAUGAUACCAAUCCCAUGGCGCUGAAGGCAGAGGAGAAUGCAAGUCUGCAACGCGAGAUGAAGUUGUUUAUGGCUACACUAAUUGCCAUGGCAACCUUCUAUGCUGGACUUUACCCUUCACGCGCUCUUGUUAAGAACCAGUUCCUUUUCCAACUCUUUGAAGUUUUCAAAGCCACAGGGUUUUUCAUCUCCAUUUGGAUGAUGAAAAUCCUCAGCAGGGGUUCCCCGAUCAAGUUUACAUUGAAGCCGCUCCUCCCUUUACUGUGCCUUGUUUACAUACUGUGCAUUGCUGUCACAUUAAAAAGCACUUCUAAGUUUUAACCAUCCAAAAGCACAUGCCGGCAAACCCUACAUUUUUAACACCUAUAGAUUGACCAACUAGGGUAACUUCCCAUCCUUUGGAAAAUGAUGAGAUCCCGUGAUCGUGACCGUUUAUUGUAUAUCAUACGAUCAGAAAUCAUUUAAAAUUUAAAAUUUAAUAUAAAUAAUACCUAAUGAAAACUGAUCGCACGAUAUAUGAUGAACGAUCAUAAUCACAAAAUUCUCAGAAUCUCCAAGAAAAUGAUCCUUUUGUCAUCCCAAUUACCGCUGCGUCAUUUUCACCCUCCCACAUCCCUUCUUUCUCCUCACGGUCCUCGGAGUUUACUCUUGAGGUAAUAAAAUAAUUAUCCAUUUUAUUUUAUUAUUUAUCCUCUUUCAACUCUUGUCGCACAAACCGCAGCACUAGAAGCAGCUUGUUCAUAAAAAGUAAAUUUAAAUAAUUAAAUAAACACUAGUAGAAAGAGAAGCCCAGACCUUCUCUACUUUCUAGUUUCUAGAACCUUCUUUUGUUCGUGCGUUCUUUCCAGACCGUUAAACUCUAACCCUAGAGAUAUUUUAGGUUUCAGAUCUAGGGUUUUUGAGGUUUGGUGGUGACUGGAGCUUGGAUUUUAGUUUCAUUUAUUUACCAAUCCUUAUUUUUUUGUCAAUGAAUUGUCAUUAACGAUUUUAUCUUGUUCUGUUUCAGAUUCUUGAUUUUUUUUUUAUGAACAUGGCAAAGAGGUCAUUUUUCUUUUUUAUUUUGUUUUAUCUUUGAAUGUUUUUGUUUUAGUAUAUGAUUGUUUUGAACUUGUGAUGUUACUCUGCAUUUUUUUUGCCAUUUAAGUCAAUGUGUUCUCUGAACAAAAUAGAGGAUUAGGCAAGAUUAGUCUUCCAGUGUUAGUCUAAAAGACGUUGGAACUUCAUGUAUUAGAUUAUGAUUGUCGUAAACUAGUGAUGCUACUCUGUUUUGUUUUUGUUUUUGUUUUUUUUUUUACCCUUUGAGUAUAUGCGUUCUCCGAAAAUAGAGGAUUAGGAGAGAUUAGUUCUUCAGUGUUAGUCUAAAGGACGUCAGGGCGCCAUAUUUUGAUUAUACGUGUUGUGAAACUUGAGAUGCUACUCUGCAUGUCAUUUAAGUAUAUGCAUUGUUUGAAAAAUAGAGAAUUAGGCGAGAUUAGUUAUUUAGAGUUAGAAGUAAUGCUAUUGGCCUUAACUUCUGCUUUGGUUGGCUUGGGUAGGCUGACCGGCAAACCAGGGUAUGUUCUUUGCCAGGUUUAUGUUAAGAGUUAUCCCACAUUGGUGAGGGACAAUGUUUGCUAUGUACUUAUAUGAUCUUGAGUCACUCCAAUAUUGCUAAUUGGUUUUAUGGUGGAACCCCAAUUUCAUCAUGGUAUCAGAGCAAGGUUGUCCACGUGUGAAGCCCAACGGCCACACGCGCUCCACGUCACCCAGUUGUUAUUCACGUGUAGGCUUGAAAAUCUGCCACACGUGCAGGAGCGUGUUGAUGUUGGGAAAAAAACUUAGAGUACACAACUCUAACACAAGUAAACAAAUUACUUGUAUUACACACACAAAAUAUUACAACACUCACAAUGACACAACUUUAGAAGCAACGACACUCACUCACUUUCUAGAGACACACUCUAAAUCACUCACACUCCUACAAAACUAUUCUUGCUUCUCACUCUCACUUGGUUGCCUACUACUACUACUACUUGAUUUCUUGUUGGUUGAUAACACACAUACAUACAUAUUUAUAGUGAGGUUUGCCGACUUACAAAGUUGGCUAGAACAUUACAGUGCAAUGGUUAUGCAUUGCACCGACUCACACAUGCAAACCGACUUGGGCUUUUUACAACAGCCACACAAUUUGGCUUUUAGGUCUUUCUACAAUCAAACCAUUCACCUAGAUUUUCUUAAGCCUAAGACGGUGGACAUAGGCUUUUCCACCCAAACACUAAUUGCUGCACUUUGCUGGAGUUUUCUAGCAUAUUCUUAAUAUGCAUGCACCUUUUAUACAUACACCACUGACUAACAAUCUUGCUAGAAUUAUCUAGCAUUUUCCAGCAUGCAUCGGCCACCUUCAAUAUUACUUGCUAGAAUCUUCUAGCACAAUCCCAUGCAUAUUUGAACUAGAAUAAUUUAGUUCAUUUGUACCGACUGAUCUUAAUAGGCUGGUGUUGAUCUUUAACAGUUGAGAGUUGUCCCACAUUGGUGAGGGACAAAGUUUGCUAUGUGCUUACAUGAUCUUGGGCUACUACCUAUAUUGCCAAUUGGUUUUAUGGUGGAACCCCAAUUUCAUCAGUUUAGAUACAACUGGUUUUAUUGUUGAAUGCUAUUGAUUUAGAUUCGCAAUGUUCCUCUGGUUUUUUUGCCAAUGAAGUAUGUGUUGUUCGAAAACGUUUACGAUUUACAGGUUUGUAUUCUUGUUUUCCCAAAGUUAAUGAGGAUUUGAUGAGGUUAGUUUUUUUGUGUUAGUCGAAAAGAAUCCGGACCACACCACAGUUUUAUAUUCUCAUUUAACUUGUGAUGGUCCUCUGUUAUAGCAUAUAUUUGAUGAGAUUAUGUUUAUAAGUAAAUGUUCUGUUCUUUACUAGGCUGUUUGGAUGCAAUUUGAUUACAUUCUCCGUUCGAUCUGCAACUGAUUUUCCUAUGCCUAUUGCCGAAAUGAUACCAACCCCAUGGCGCUGGAGGCAGAGGAGAAUGCAAGUCUGCAACGCGAGAUGAAGUUGUUUAUGGAUACACUAAUUGCCAUGGCAACCUUCUAUGCUGGACUUUACCCUUCACGAGCUCUUGUUAAGAACCAGUUCCUUUUCCAACUCUUUGAAGUCUUCAACGCUGCAGGGUUUUUCAUCUCCAUUUGGAUGAUGAAAAUCCUCAGCAGGGGUUCCCCGAUCCAGUUUACAUUGAAGCCGCUCCUCCCUUUACCGUGCCUUGUUUACAUACUAGGCAUUGCAAAUAUGUUUUCUUGCUCCUGCUGCACCUGCAGGUUAUGGAUGUGAUAAUGUAAUUCGGUCAGAAACAUGGUAACUCUGUUGUCUAACUGGCGUUUUCGGGCACCUGAAGUUUAUGAAUGUGAUGUAAUUCUGUAGAAACAUGGUACCUUGUUAUGUAACUGGUGUUUUCGAAAACCCGAAGCUUAUGAUGUUAAUUAACUGGUGUUUUUGGGCACCUGAAGUUUAUGUAGUGGAUUUGCAAGAUUUGUGACUACUUGUUUAAUUGCUGUAUUUGAAUACAGUUUCAUCAAUAGAGCAGAUGUGAUUUAGUUCCUUUAGUGAAUGAAAAGUUUUGAUGUAACAGGUUUGAUAGGGGGGAUGCACAUAUAUCCCUAUUACGAAUAACAUAUCUUGAUCAUAAAAAUUAAAUGAUCAGGAAACAUAUCAAGUAAAUGAACGAUUUAUUAUGAAUAUGUUACUUUGUUGAUGCACAAAAUCAGCGAGGACUUUGGUACAACAGAAAGUGUCAGGUUUGUGACCUUCGCUUGGUUGCUUCGAUCACUAGUGAAGAUAAGUACGUAAAUGAAUAGGGACAGGGAAGCAAACACAAGAUGUACGUGGUUCACCCAGAUCGGCUACAUCCACGGAGUAGAGGAGUUCUCAUUAAUUGUGAAGGGUUUACACAAAUACAUAGGUUCAAGCUCUCAUUUUGUGAGUUCUAGUGAAUAGUUUAGUACAAAAUGACAUUAGAGAUUAUUGUGGGAGAAUGAUCCCUAUUUAUAGAAGAGAGUUUCUAGUUUUGUUCUAACAUUGACACGUGUCGUGUUGUGAUUGGCUUCUGAUGUUGACACGUGUCGAGCUGUGAUUGGCUUCUGAUGUCGACACGUGUCGCAUUGUGAUUGGCCUCCUGGUUGAAGGGAAGCUCUUCUGGGUCUUCGACGGUAUAACGUUGACCGGUGCUCAGUAGUUUCGAGAUUGGUCAAGUAUGGUACAAACAGUGCUCCCCUAAGUUCCCGAGUGAGGGAAGCUCCUCGGUUGGGGACUUGCAAGAUCCAAGCCAUUGAGUAAUCACGAAACUUCUAAGUACUGAAGUGUGGUAUCAUUUUCACGUGCCUUAUCUGUCUCAUAUGUAGAUGUGAUAUCUUCUCUGGAAGUACUUUUCCUCCAUCCAUGGAUGGUAUCUUUAACCGAUGAAGAUGCACAAGGUAAUGUAUCAAUUUCACUUGAAGCUUACUUGUAGUUUCGGGCUUGGUCAAGUGCGAUACAAACCCUAUAGUAGGAGUCUCCGAGAGAUAAGAAAAAUAAAUUACAUCACUUUAAAGUAAGGAAAAUAAAUCACAUCAUUCUGGUGGGGUGUUUAUUCCUCACUUUUUCUUUCUGCUUUUGUUUUUGCUUUCUCUUUUCCACCACACAUCUCUCUGUCUCCGUCUUUGCGCUACUGUCCAUUUGUAAAGAGCAUCUUUAGAGGUCAUCACUUAUGAACCCCACGACCACUUUCUUUGAAGGUCAUCAACCCACAUGUGCUUGCAUGCACCCCUCUUUAAGAAAUUCAUAUUCAAUGGUUGCUUUGUCUAUCUCUAUCUCACAUAUUAUAUCACCCACUUCUAUCUUAUCUCCUUUCUUUCUCCACUUAAAAAUGUUUCCUUGACUCAUUGUCGGUGAUAAAGCUGGCAUUUCAACGACAAUGUGAGCAGGAAGUUAUGAUGUGUCGAGCUAGGAGAUCUGCCGAAAGACGUGACAGACAAGGUAAGCAGUCAAACUUCCAAGCAAGCAACCCAGGAUCGGAGGUUCGACUUCGGCUUCCGGUUGAUUAUUCUCCUUCUCCUUGUCUCUCAUUCAGCUGCUAGGAUAAGGAGAAGCAAAUGGAGAAGAGAUGAUAUGAGAUACUUUUGCUUUUGAAGAAGUAACUUUCCACAGGCUUAUUCUUGAACUGUGCUGGAGGGUUUUCUGGUUCCCUUCAGAGUAUAAGGCCGACUCAAGAAUUUGAGGGUCAAAACAAGUCCAUCAAAUCUAGAGUACGUUCGACCUUGAUGAUAUGGGAUACUUUUGCUGUUGACGGAAUACUGAAUGUGGUAUGGAAAGGUGUCGUGCUGUAGUGAUCUGUUUCAGCUCACCGUUGAACCUUCUGCUUCAAUCUUUUGCAUGGCAGAAGUGGUGUGCAACCUUUGCAUUUAAAUGGUCCUUCAGAACAUUCCUUCAUAGUGACUCAUCCACGCUUGGCAGCUUCAGUGUAAAGAGCCAAUAUCUGAUCAACUGUCAUGAGGUAUGUGCCGGUGGAAUUCAUGACCUUGACAACAGUUGAGGAUGAGUUCUCGAGAGCAAUGCUAAGUAAGCAACCAGGCAAAGGUCUCAGGCAGUCAGUUCCAGAUUGGAGGUUUGAUUUCAAGUUCCGACUGACUGCUCUCUUUCUCUUUGUCCUGCAGGUGUGGACAAGGACGAAGACAAGGACAGGGAUAAAGCAUGAUAUGGGAUACUCUUACUUUCGACCCUGAUGAUAUGAGAUACUCUUGUUCUUGGUGUGGCUUAUUUGCUGAGGUAUUAUCAGGGGGAAAUAAAGCUAAGUAUUUCGAGAGGUUAUGUUGAGGGUGCAUUCUCGAAUGCGAGAAAGGGUUAAGCAUUUUUGCAGGUUUGCCUGUCCGUUGAGGAGGGAGGUCGAUGUAUAUAGGGAUUUCCCAAUAACAAGUAGUAAUGUUAUUCCCUUACCCUUCUUGGUCACAGCAAUGUAGUGGGAGCUGCCAGCUUCACGUGUUUUAACUUUGUCAGAGCACUUUGAAAAAGUGGUAUGUGGUAUCUGGAAAGCUAAUGUUGCGUGUGAAGAUUACAGACAAGCUUUAUCUAAGGAAAUCUGGCUCUCGAAGUUCUGAGAGCUGUGCCUCUUCGGUUUUCGAACAAGCAAUCCCGUCGGGGAUCUGGCUCUCGAGAUUCGGAAAGCGGUGCCGCUUCGAUUUUUGAGAAAGUAAUUAUGUUGAGAGUCUUUUCUCGAAUGUGAGUAAAGGUUGGACGUUCUUGCUAGCCUAUCUUGCCACGGAACAUGGAGGUCGACACACAUAGGGACUUUCCAGUUGUCAAGCAGUGGUGUUGUUCCUUUACCCUUGUGGGUAAUAGUAGGGUAGCUGGAACUUCGAAAUUCUCGCGCCUAAACUUUGUCAGAGAUCUUUGGCAAAGUUAUAUGUGGUACCCGAGGAGUUGAUGGUGCGUGUGGAGAGUGGUGAUUGAACAGCAAGAUUCGCGUGCUUUCUACUUCACUAGAAAUCUUUGACAGAUUACCCGUAAUUUCUGCAAAGCUAAGUGUGCAUGUGACAGGUGCUGACGAGGCUGAAAAAGAAGGUGCUUCUUCGAUUUCUGAGAUCGGCCCUCGUGGUCUCUGAGUACCCCAACUUUUGAGAAAGGAAGCGCCUCUUUGAUUUUUGAGAUCGGCCCUCGUGGUCUCCGAGCAGCCCAGCUUUUGAGAAAGCAAACGCCUCUUCGAUUUCUGAAGCUCCGUCGAGUGCAGAUUUUUAUAGAGGCUGGCAUUAAGUUCCACAGCACACUUGAAUCUCCACCAGUAUAAGCUCCCUUCUUGCACUUCUAAGAUCUUGAUUUGUCUGACCUCUUCCCUCUUCAACACCUUUGAAAAUGUUUGGCCCCUCCGACCGUCGUUUUGACUUGAACCUUGGAGAAGAGACAGCCAUGCCUUCUCCAGACAACAUAUGGCGGCCAUCCUUCAUAUCCCCUACUGGUCCUCUUACCGUUGGGGAUUCUGUGAUGAAGAAUGAUAUGACCGCUGCGGUGGUGGCCAGGAACCUUCUCACUCCAAAAGAUAACAGACUACUUUCCAAACGGUCUGAUGAGUUGGCUGUUAAGGAUUCUCUGGCUCUUAGUGUUCAGUGUGCAGCUUCUGUGUCUAAUAUGGCCCAACGCCUAUUUGCUAGAACCCGCCAAGUUGAAUCAUUAGCUGCUGAAGUGAUGAGUCUCAAACAGGAGAUUAGAGUGCUCAAGCAUGAGAAUAAACAGUUGCACCGGCUCGCACAUGACUAUGCUACAAACAUGAAGAGAAAGCUUGACCAGAUGAAGGAAUCUGAUGGUCAGGUUUUACUUGAUCAUCAUCGGUUUGUGGGUUUAUUCCAAAGGCAUUUAUUGUCGUCGUCUUCUGGGGCUGUACCGCGUAAUGAAGCUCCAAAUGAUCAACCUCCGAUGCCUCAUCCUUCUGGGGUUUUGUCCAGUACUGAGGCUCCGGAUAACCACCCUCCGGUGCUUUCUCUUUCUGGGGCUCUACCGACUGCUGAGACUUCCCCUAAGCAACCUUUGUGAAGGCUCCCUCUUGUUUGUUUAUUUUGAUUCAUGUAUAUGUACAUAUUUGUAACUUAUCGGAAAUAUCAAUAAACAAGAUUUGCUUCAUUUCAACGUAUUGUGUUAAAUACACCAAGGCCUUCUUCACUAAGUUCUUUGAAUUUUUCCUUUUGUUGAAGCUUGUAUGUUGAAACUUUGUGAGUGAAGUAUGUAGGUUGAGGUAGUGCUCCCUUAAUUUCCCGAGUGAGGAAAACUUCUCGUUUGGAGACUUGAAAAAUCUAAGUCACUAAGUGGUCGUGAAACUUCCGAGUAUCAAGGUGCAGUAGCAUAUGGUAGGAGUCCCCAAAGACUCUGGUCGAGGGAGUUGACGAAUGAGGCAUUUUCUUUCUAAGUGGUAGCCUAAAACUCCUUCUUCAUAUAUAUUUGUUAUGAAAGUUGUUAGGCCCAAAGAAGAGGAGGCCUAGGCAAUUUUUUUUUUUUUUGAAUUUUUAAUUUUUUGAAUUUUUUUUUUUUUUUGAUUUUUUUUUUUGAUUUUUCAAAUUUCCGGAUUUUUGAAUUUUCGAAUUUCCGAAAAAAUAAAAAUUAAAAAUAAUAUAUAUAUAUAUAUAUAUAUUUAAAAGUUUUGUUGGUGAAGCUUUGGUGUUAAAGCUUUGUAGGUGAAGCUUUGAGGUUGAAGCUUUGUUGGGCAUCAUGAAUUGAUUUUGCUUCACACUAUCUUGAUGAAGAGUGUGUGAAGCUUUUAUAUGUUUUGGUGUUGAAAUUUUGUAUUGUAGGUGAAGCUUUGGGGUUGAAGCUUGAUAGGUGAAGCUUUGGUGUUGAAGCUUUAUAGGUGAAGCUUUGGUGUUGAAGGGUUGAAGCUUUAUAGGUGAAGUUUUUGGUGUUAAAGCUUUAUAGGUGAAGCUUUGGGGUUGAAGCUUUAUAGGUGAAGCUUUUGUUGGCACCAUAAAUUAAUUUUGCUUCACACUAUCUUGAUGAAAAUAGUGCAAAGCUUUUGAGAUUGAUAUUUGUCCUCCAUUGAUGAAGCUUUUGUUGGCACCAUAAAUUGAUUUUGCUUCACACUAUCUUGAUGAAGAUAGUGCAAAGCUUUUGAGAUUGAUAUUUGUCCUCCAUUGAUGAAGCUUUUGUUGGCACCAUAAAUUGAUUUUGCUUUUGUUGGCACCAUAAAUUGAUUUUGCUUCACACUAUCUUGAUGAAGAUAGUGCAAAGCUUUUGAGAUUGAUAUUUGUCCUCCAUUGAUGAAGCUUUUGUUGGCACCAUAAAUUGAUUUUGCUUCACACUAUCUUGAUGAAGAUAGUGCGAAGCUUUUGAGGAUUGUAGUUGUGUUCCAUUGAUGAAGCUUUGUUGAAUUUCCCAAUUUCCAAUUUCCUCUUUUUUUGUUUUUUGUUUUUUUUUUGUUUUUGUUUUUUUUGUUUUUUUUGUUUUUGUUUUUUUUUUUUUUUUUUUUUGGGAAAACUAGAAAUUUGAAAAUGUGGGAGAGACAACGUAUACAAAUUUUGCUUCCAUACUGUUAAGCGAGAGAUUGUGAUGCAAGCCAUAUCUUGUAGUAGUCGAAGGUUUGGAUGAACCAUAUAAAUUGAAUUUGCUUCGAACAGUCUUGAUCAAGAGCGUUUGAAGCUUUCUAUGUGUUGUAGUGUUUGCAUUGUUACAGAGGAGAAAUGUCUGAAGCAGAUGCAAGAGGGCUGAAGAGCUUGAUCUUCGUAUACCAUGCAUUGAAGCCAUUGUUGGCUUGCAAUAAGACUUUGUUGGUGACUAUAGCUCUUGUUAGGCAUAAGUGCUCCCCUAGUUGAGUUGUAAAGCUUGAUGGUUUUUUAUUAUUUGUGAAUGCUAGGAGUUCACAUGUACAAGUUGUACCACUCGUCUUCUGGUUAGUGGAAUGAAUGGUGGGUUGCUUUCAUCACUUGGUUGGUGGUACGAAUGUGAAUUCCUUAAUCACCUUUCAUCACAUUUCAUCACCUGGUUGGUGACAUGAAGAAGAGUACGCGUUGUACAUUUCAUCACCUGGUUGGUGGCAUGAAGGAAAGUACGCGUUGUACAUUUCAUCACCUGGUUGGUGGCAUGAAGAUGAGUUCCUUCUUCACCUGAUUGGUGAUAAGGGUGGCAAGUUUCCAAAUAAUAUUAGAGUACGGGUUGUACAUUUCAUCACCUAGUUGGUGGUACGAAGGUGAGUUCCUUCAUCACCUAGUUGGUGAGAAUAAGGGCAAGGUGUCGAGGCACAUUGUGGCAAAUGUCGAAUGACACAAAGUGUGUUGAACCCUUUCGAAGCACAGUUGGCUUAUGUAUGGAUGUGUUGGAAUGUAUGAUGUUUAUGCAUGAAUGUGUUGGAAUGUAUGAUGUUUAUGUAUGAAUGUAUUGGAAUAUUGGAAUAUAUGAUGUUUAUGUAUGAAUGUGUUGGAAUGUAUGAUGUUUAUGUAUGAAUGUGUUGGAAUGUAUGAUGUAGAUCCUUUGUAUAGUCUUGUUGACACAUACUUAGAUUUUGUUUUGUAUUGGAAACAUUUGCGUUGAAGCUUCAACACUUGAGUGUUUCAUUGCUCAGAAUGGAAAAUAGUUUAUGGCCGAGUUGGCUAAAUCACCUCUUUAUUGAAUUCAUACCAAAUGGUCUUUGUUACAUAGGAUGCCGAACGGCUGUAGCUUAACACUUGUACUAUGUGAGUCUAUUUGUAAUAAUACUUCAAGUGGUCAGCAUUCCAUGGAUGGCCAAGGGUCUUGCCGUCGGAGUUUCUGAGCUUGUAGGAGCCAGGGCGGUUGAUGCCGACGACCUCGAACGGUCCGUCCCAGUUAGGACUAAGUGUUCCUUCACUCGGGACCCUAUCACAGAGUAAUCUUUUCUUCAGUACCCAGUCUCCCACUUUGAAAGAGCGAGGUUUGACCUUUGAGUCGUAGUAGUUGGAAAUGCGCUGCUUGUAGGCGACAUUCCUCAGGUGAGCCUGAUUUCUGUGUUCCUCGACUAGAUCCAAGUUGAGGGUGAGUUGUUUGUCGUUCUCACUCUGCAUGUAAUUCUGGAUUCGGUAUGUUGCUUGCUCAAGCUCAACCGGGACAACUACUUCUGUACCAAAAGCAAGUGAGAAUGGAGUUUCUCCUGUGGAAGUCCGAUAUGAAGUGCGGUAUGACCAAAGAACUUGGGGUACGAAUUCUGGCCAACAACCUUUAGCUUUGUCCAAGCUAGUUUUCAAAAUGCGCUUGAUUAUUUUGUUAACGGCCUCGACUUGUCCAUUAGACUGGGGAUGGGCUGGAGAGGCAAAACAUAAGUUGAUGUUGAACUUAGAGCAGAACAUUUUGAACUUCUUGUUGUCGAACUGCCGCCCAUUGUCCGUGACUAUCGCAUCGGGAAUGUCGAAUCUACAGAGGAUGUUCUUCCAUACGAAGUCUUCUAUUUUUCCCUCAGUAAUGGUUGCCAAGGGUUCUACUUUAGCCCACUUUGUGAAGUAAUCAACUGCAACGAUUGCAUAUCGGACCUUGCCCUUCCCUGCAGGCAUUGGGCCAAUCAAAUCAAGUCCCAAUUGGGCGAAGGGCCAAGGGCUGAUCAUAGGAGUGAGCGGCUUGGGAGGGGAGUGAGGGAUAGUUGCGUAGCGUUGACACUUAUCACAUGAGCAAGAUAUUCUGAUGGCAUCUUGGUGGAGUGUUGGCCAAUAGUAUCCUUGGCGAAAAGUCUUGUGUGCUAGGGAUCGAGACCCAGCAUGAUCUCCGCAGACUCCUUCAUGUAUUUCCCGAAGGACAAUUUCCGCCUCCGCAGGUGUAAGGCAUCUUAGGUAGGGCAGGGUAAAACCGCGCUUGUAGAGUUGGUCAUUAAUGAUCAGGUAGCGAGCAGACUUGUAUCGAAUCUGCUUAGCUUGGACUUUGUCAUUUGGGAGGGUGCCAUGGGCAAGGAAUUUAUAAAUUGGGGUGAUCCAACUAUCUCCUUGUUGUAAAUUGCACACUUCCGCGACCAUGGUGCUUGGUGCUGCCAACAAUUCGACAUGAAUUUUUCUCCCAAUCUUGUCUUCCACUGCCGAGGCGAGGCGGGCCAAAGCGUCUGCAUGACUGUUUGCCGCUCGAGGAACUUGGGUGAUCUGGUAGUGGAAGUGCUUGAGCAAAAGUCGUGUUUGCGCAAGAUAUGCUGCCAUGGAGCUAUCCUUAGCAUCAAAGUUGUUCGUGACUUGGUUGACCACUAAUUGGGAGUCACUGAAGAUAUCAAUUUGUUUAACUCCAAGAUGCUUGGCCAAACGUAAGCCUGCUAGAAGGGCUUCGUAUUCGGCCUCGUUGUUCGAUGCCUUGAAUUUGAAACGAAUAGCUUAUUCUAUCGCCACUUUGUCAGGGGUAGUGAGGACUAAUCCUGCUCCGCAGCCCUGUUGGUUGGAUGAGCCAUCAACAUAUAGACUCCAUGCUGGGGUUGUUGAUUCUAUCUUCUGAGCUUCCGAUGGUAAUGAAGCUAUUGCUUCAGGUGUAGAAGCAAUGUCAACAGGAUAUGUGAAGUCGGCGAUGAAAUCUGUUACUGCUUGACCCUUUUCGGCAGGUUUUGGUUGGUAGGAGAUGUCAAACUCACCCAAUGCUAUCGCCCAUUUGAUCAUUCACCCAGACGUGUCAGGACUCUGGAGUAUAUGUCGAAGAGGGUGAUUGGUAAGCACGAUGAUGGCGUGUGCUUGGAAAUAAGGGCGAAGUUUUCGAGCAGACAUGACCAAUGCUAGAGCUAAUUUCUCAAUGUUGGAGUAUCGUGUCUCCGCAUCUUGUAGGGCCUUGCUAGCAUAGUAAACGGGUCGUUCGACACCACUGUCAUUUAGAAUAAGAACAGAACUGACUGCUGAAGCCGAAACCGAUAGAUAGAUAAUGAGAGUGUCACCAACUUCUGGUUUGGAGAGCAGAGGGGCUUUACUCAUGUAAUCUUUGAGGUUCCUGAAUGCCUUGGCACAUUCCUCCGUCCAUGUAAUGUACUUCUUAUUUCCCUUGAGUGCUUUGAAGAAAGAAACACAUCUGUCUGUGGCCUUAGAGAUGAAUCUGGUUAAGGCUGCCACCUUGCCAGUAAAGCUUUAGAUGUCUUUUGAAGUUACUGGCUCUUUCAUGUCGAUGAUUGCUUUGAUCUUUUCGGGGUUAGCUUCAAUGCCUCGUUGGCUAAUCAUGAAGCCUAAGAAUUUGCCAGAGCCCACGCCGAAGGCACAUUUGUUGGGGUUCAACCUCAUUCAGCAUGUUUGCUCUUGACUAACAUAUCAUCAACGUAAACUUCCAUGCUCUUCCCAAUCUGUUCGGCGAACAUUGAAUUGACCAGUCUCUGAUAAGUUGCUCCCGCAUUCUUUAGACCGAAGGGCAUGACUUUGUAGCAAUAUAGUCCCCUGUCAGUAGUGAAGGCUGUGUGUUCUUGGUCUGAAGGGUUCAUGAGGAUUUGGGUGUAUCCUGAAUAAGCGUCCAUGAAGCUCAAGAGCUCACACCCUGCUGUAGAGUCUAUAAGUCUAUCAAUGAGAGGAAGGGGGAAACUAUCCUUUGGGCAUCCUUUGUUUAGGUCGGUGUAGUCAACACACAUUCUCCACAAGACCUUUUAAAGCAGGAGACUUUCCUUGGUCGGAUUUUUCUUAACAAGGACAACAUUUGCUACCCAUGUUGGGUAAUUGACUUCACGGACGAAGCCUAUGUCCUUGAGUUUUUCAACUUCUGCUUUCAUCGCCUCGUAUCGUUCAACAUCAUAAGAUCUUCGCUUCUGUUUUACUGGUUUGGUCUUGGGAUCAAUACUCAAAUGGUGACAGAUGAUAUCGGGAGAGAUGCCCGGCAUAUCUUUAUAUGACCAAGCGAAGACCUCGGCGUUCUCUUGCAAAAAGGAGAUCAGCGACAACCGAAGGGGUGAUAAAAAAGUGGUGCCAAUCUUCACCAUGCGAUCUGGAUGGUCUUUGGAGAUAGAGACAUUCUCUAACUCUUCAGCGGGUUGUGCUUGCUGGGUGAAUGAGUCAUCUCGAGGGUCGUCGGGUUGACUGGUGCCAUCAUGAAGAUCCGAGUUGGCUUCAUCUGGACUGGUCUUUACUACCUGGUUAUGUAUAGAGAUGGUCUCCUUGGGGACAGGCAGGUGUUGUUGCUUAACUGAAGUGUUGUAACAUGAUUGAGCACUAAGUUGAUCUCCCUUGAUGUAUCCAUUACCGAAAGGGGUUGGAAACUUCAUCAACAUAUGUGUGGAUACCAUGGCCUUGAGAUCAUUGAUGCCUGUGCGCCCAAAGAUGACAUUGUAUGCCGUCGGGCAAUUGACCACUAGGAAGUUAGUGGUAAUAGUAGCUGUGUAGGGGCCUGUACCAAUGGUGAAGGGUAAGUGUAUACUCCCUAAAGGUUGCACGAUAUCGCCAGAGAAGCUUAUCAGAGGAGAAAUCGAGCUAUCGAGCAAGUGUUCAGCUACAUUAAGUGCCUUGAAAGCUUCAGCAAACAUGAUAUUGACUGAAGCACCUGUGUCUAUCAGGAUUCGUUUCACAUCAAAAUUUGCUAUGUGAGCCUCCACGAUCAGCGGGUCGUGAUGGUAGAUAAUACCUCUUUCUUCCUCAGGGUAGAAACAUAUUGGAUCCCAGUUAGGUUUUUGAUACUUGCCUCCCCUGAUGUCUUCCACGUGAAACACUUGAUGGCCAGGUUUCAAAGUUCGUUCACUGUUUUUCAUAGCCCUAUUGGAAGAUUCAGACAUAGGUGUGCCGCCGCUUAUAGAAUAUAUCACAUUCACCUGGCGUUGGUUACGGUUAUCCCUUGGAGGGUGAAGGAGGAACUGAUCAAUUUUUCCUUCACGUGCCAAAGCUUCAAUAUGAUCACGGAGGAUGACGCACUCCUCGCCAUCAUGGCCAUUAUACUCGUGGUAGCAGCAAAACAUGCCCGUGUUUUUCGUGGACUUGUAAUCUGGCUGUCUUGGCUUUGGCUUUGGUAUCAGAUGAGCUAUACUGGGGUAGAUGGCCGCGCAUGUAGCGUUCAAAGGUGUGUAUGUCUCAUACCUCGGGGUAGGGCCUGUCUUGACACGUGAUUGGCCCACUGCAUUGACUGCCUGGGGACGGGCGUUAUUGUGACGAUAUCCUGAGUUAUCGCGAUAGUGCCCCUUAUUCUUUUUAUUAAAAUGAGAUUGGUGAGGAUGGAAAUCUUUCCUUUUGCCCUGGGAUUGAUAUGUCUGCUGACUUGGCGAAGCAUUAAAUGAGGCAGGGGGUGUGCUGCUACCGUUUGGAAGGUUAAGGUCUUCUCAUUCGGUUGGAUCUGGCCUCCACUCCCUACUUGCUGAUAAGGGGUGACUGUAGGGGGUUUCCCUUGAUAUGUCCUUGCCUCGGCGGAGGCAUGGUUGUAAGCUUGUGCCAUCACCUCAGAGUAAGUCUUCCAAGUGUUGGCAUUGAUCAUGUACUUGAAGAAACAGUCACGUAAGCCUGCCGUGAAGGCCUUGAGGGCGGUCUUGUCAUCUGCCUUAGCGCAACGAGAAUACUCAUGGCUGAAGCGGCCAGCAUACUUUCGUAAUGACUCGUCCGGCUUCUGGCGAAUAGUGUACAAGUCAUCUGUGGAAUGCAAGCGAUCGGUCUGGAAGAUGUGUUGAGAGACAAACAGCUUCCUCAACUCUUCAAAUGAGUCUACUGUCUCAGGCGGAAGACGGCAAUACCAGUUUAAAGCUCAGCCAGAGAGGGUGGAGGGGAAGAGAAGGCAACGUUCUUCGUCGGUGUGUCUCCGGUAUACCAUGGUGGACUCAAAGAGGUUAAGGUGUUCAAUCGGGUCUUCCUUUCCAGUAUAGAGUUGUAAGCCAAGCUUCUGCUUUGUCUUUGCUUGGAGGGGGGUGUUGAGGAUCCUUCUUGUGAGGGGCCCAGGCCUGGGUUGGUUCCAGUCAGGUAUCUCGGCUUGACGUUCAGCCUUCAACUUGUUUACUUCCUCCAGGAGUUGUAGGACAAGGGGGUCCUGAGUGGAGUCGUGCACCACUGAAGGUUUCUUUCGUAAGUCCCCAUCGCCUCUUGUAAGUAGGAAAGUUUGAUCAAGAUAACGUGAUUUUUCCUUAGACUCGUCACACUGACUCCUAGAGUGAGUAUGUCGGAACAUUUCCGAGUCCCCUGUACCUUCAUGUUCUUCUGGGACUUGUUGCCCAUUCCUUAGAUUAACUGCUGGCCUGGGUCGUGGGAGAGGACCGAGUCUUUCAGAAACUCUUGGGUCAUUGAUCUUCGAGCUUAUGUGGAUGGGAUUCUCUCGACGUUGCUUUAGAAAGUCUCGACAAUCGCGAUAGACGGCUUUUGAUCCUUCCACUCCUUCUGUGAGGAUGUGCUUUCCUCUACUCCUUCUGCUUCGGGUUGAAGCAGCUGGGUUGAGAGAAGUCUCAUGUUGAUUAUCACAUUGAUAUGUAGCUCGAUCCUUAUCAGGGAUGUCUGUGUUGGAUAUCGGUGACCCUCCGUGUUGGGGGGCAUUCAGAUGAUUGUUGACCUCAGCAGGGGCGACGAGCUUGUGUGCUUGAGCAUGCCUAGCCUCGUGAAGCAUCUCGAAAAGUUUUUCAUACUGCUCCUGGAGAACCUCGUUCCUCAUCACUAUCUUGUUGUUCUGAGCUUCUAACUCAUCGACUUUAGCUUGAAGAGUAACUCUAUUUCCUUCCUGCUUUCAUUGCUUCGUACUAGGUCCAAUGGGGGUGUCAUUCUGUGUGUUAUGGCUUCUUUCGCUCCCCAUGUCGGAGAGAGAUGCUUGGCCAAAAGAGAGUGUACGAGCAGUGGAAACCAGCUUGACAAAGCUGAAGAGAGUGGGAAUAAGUGUCAGUUCCCACAAACGGUGCCAAAUGUUGAUGCACAAAAUCAGCGAGGACUUUGGUACAACAGAAAGUGUCAGGUUUGUGACAUUCGCUUGGUUGCUUCGAUCACUAGUGAAGAUAAGUACGUAAAUGAAUAGGGACAGGGAAGCAAACACAAGAUGUACGUGGUUCACCCAGAUCGGCUACGUCCACGGAGUAGAGGAGUUCUCAUUAAUUGUGAAGGGUUUACACAAAUACAUAGGUUCAAGCUCUCAUUUUGUGAGUUCUAGUGAAUAGUUUAGUACAAAAUGACAUUAGAGAUUAUUGUGGGAGAAUGAUCCCUAUUUAUAGAAGAGAGUUUCUAGUUUUGUUCUAACAUUGACACGUGUCGUGUUGUGAUUGGCUUCUGAUGUUGACACGUGUCGAGCUGUGAUUGGCUUCUGAUGUCGACACGUGUCGCAUUGUGAUUGGCCUCCUGGUUGAAGGGAAGCUCUUCUGGGUCUUCGACAGUAUAACGUUGACCGGUGCUCAGUAGUUUCGGGAUUGGUCAAGUAUGGUACAAACAUACUUGGUACUUACAUCGUUGAUUUAUUAUAUACAUUUGAAUGACUAAGUUGUGAACUUGUGAUGCUACUCUUCUCUUUUUGUUUUUGCCAUUUAAGUAUAUGUGUUUUUCAAGAAAUAGAGAAUUUGGACAUAUUAGUUCUUCAAUGUUAUUCUAAAGGACGCCGGGACGCCACGUAUUUAGAUUAUGAUUGUUAUGAACUUGUAAUGUUCUUCUGCAUUUUUGUUCCGUUUGAGUAUACGCAUUAUGCAUUCUCUGAAGUAUAGAGGAUUAGGCGAGAUUAGUCAUUCGGUGUUGGAAUAAAAGGUUGCGGAACGCCACUAGGUUUAUGUUCUAAUGAUACCGUUGCCAUGGCAUUGGCACCUGAGACAAAAUAGGCUGAAGCGCAUUCAACUGAGCAAGGCGGGACGGUGAGCAUUAUGCAGCACUAAUUGCCUCGGCAACCCUCUAUGCUGGACUUCACUCCCUCAAAAACUCUUGUCGAGAACCAGUUCCUUUUCCGACUCUUUGAAGCGACCAACACCGUUGUGUUUUUCAUCUCCAUUUGAAUGAAGAAAACCCUGGUUCCUCGAUCGAGCUUUGCAUGAACCUGAUCCUCUUUUUACUGUGCGUUAUCUACAUGUUAGGUCUUGCAAUGGUGUUUUAUUGCACCUGAAGUUUAUGAAUGUGAUGUUGUAACUCUGUAGGAAUCAUGGUGACUUUGUUGUGUAACUGGUGUUUUCUGGCACCUGAAGUUGGUUGAGAGAAAAAGAGUUGAACAAAACUUGCAACCCUUGGGAAAGCUAAGGCUUUUCUUUUUGUUAGUUGAACCGUUCCCAGCAAAGUUAUUUCGUACGAACGAUGUUGUUGAGUAGUAGUUGGUAUUUUGAAGGCUCUAUUAUUCUUCAUGCAUGUUACUGUAGACGUACCAAUAAUUUUGAGGAGUAAAUUCUGGGGCCUCAAAUAUUAAGUAUAGUAGAACGCGCUUGUGUUAUAAAGUAUCUUUUCAGCAAGAGAAACUUGCAUACAUCGUGACGUAUGCAUGACAAGAACGAGAAAUAUAUACUGCUUCAAGGAAGUUCUUCGCCUUCUCAACUCAACUAGAUGCAGUGAAAGGCAAAACUCCUACAUCAAGAAAGGACCAAGCCUUAUGAGGACAUAUAAGGAGUUUGACUACUCCCAUAUUAUUAAUAGUACUAUAGCGGAACCUCAACUUCUUUCAUGUAUCUCAGAACAAGUUGGCCCAUGUGUGAAGCUCAACAACACACGUUCUCUACGUCCUCCAAUUUGUGAUGUCUACAUGUUAGAUUUGAACAUUUGUUACACAUGAGAGGGUGUGUGAGAAUAUAAAUAAAUAUCUUAUAUCAAAAGUUUACUAAAGCUUGCAUGUCCUUAUAGCUAGAGAGUUGGACUACUCUCAAUCACCAUAUUGCCAACUGAAUUUAUGGUAAAACCUCAAUUUCCCUCAUAGACAAAUUAUGUUAAAGCAUUUAGGCUUGCAGCUAUACCUUUGUAUUGAAUCUAGGGUUUCAAACACAUUCCAAUCACCAAUAACUAUUCUAAACAACUUUUUCAAGACCAUAAUGAUAUGAAAUUGAGAAUGAUUAGCAAAAGAGUUAGCAGCUGAGAGAGUAGUUGGUUUUGCAAUCAAAUAUCUACGAACUAUGUUGACUAAAUCAUUGACCCAUUUAUAUGAUAACAAUUAGUUUUGGUCACAUGCCCUGGUGGUAAGUUUUUCUAGGUUAGCAAAACUGCUGGGAGUGAAAAAGUUAAGUCUACAAGUUAUAUUCAUAGGUGUUUCUUAUAUUCUAUGGCUUCUAAUUAAAUUAUAACCAAGGAUGCAUGGUCACAGCCAUAAUCAUUAAUUUACUGGCACCAAAUUUGAAUUUUCAUCAUAUAUAGCGAUGUUGGUAUGGUAAUUGUCACAAGCAAAGUUUUAGGAAGAAAUGUCAUUCAAGAGAGUGGAAAUUUCUUCACAAAUAAUUGACCACCACAUGUCCCGUUUACUGGCAUGUGAAAUUGCUGCCAUAUUAAUUUGAUGUUUUCUCAUGGGUCAAACUAGAAAUUUUGCAAGGGUUUAUAAGAGGUUGAGUUAUUCUCUAUAUUGCCAAAUUGGUUUUAUGGUGAAACCCCAACUUUCUUCCUUGUACUAGAGCAGAUUGGCCCACGUGUAAAGCUCAAAGACCACACUUGUUCCACAUCACUCAAUAUGUGCUACCAAGCAUUUGGCUUGAAAAUGUUGCCACAUGCGAGGGAGCAUGUGAGGAUGUGAAGGUAAAAGAGCUUAUAAGAAGUUGGGCUACUCCCAACAUUACCAAUUGGUUUAGAACCCCAACUUUCCUUUGGGUAUCAAAGCAGGUUGGCCCACGUGUGAAUCCUAACGGCCACACUUGCUCCACAUCACCCAAUUCAUGUUGUUCACGUGUUUGGCUUGAAAACUUGCUAUACGUGAAAGGACUUGUGAAGAUUUAAAGGUAAAUGAGUCUCACAUUGGUGAAAGGAGAAACCUUGUAAGGAGUUAUAAGAGGUUGAACUACUCCUCAUAUUUCCAAUGAGUUUUAUUAUGGAACCCAACUUUCUUCAUGGAAUACCAGUGUUUUCAAAUAAGAACAAUUUAUCUGCAGCAGGUUAAUUUGAUCCCUUCCAACACUACUAGACCUUUAGCACACAAGGUUUGAAAAGAAAAAACUGUAAAAAUGAGGUUGAAGGUGAGCUAGAGAACAAACUUGAACAGCGUAUAUGCAAGUUUAAUUGAAGUUGUUUUAACUAUUAUACAUCUGAUAGAUUUGAUGCAAUCGAGCUCUAGCUUGUCUAGAAAAUCUGUCGUGUCAUCGGGUAUAUAGUGUGUAUUUAUCCUCAGUUGUAGAAGCAUGACUUGUCUACACUAGCUACUGAGGCAGAUUCUAAAUCAAUAACGCAUUGUAAUGAAUUUUUAACUUUCUAAUUGUACGCACUAAUGCAUUGAUGGUUUUGAAUAUCUUUAUAGUAACGGAUCGUGUAGGUAGUCUCUCUCCGAUUCGAGGACAUACUUUGAUGAGCCUAACCCAACUGACAAUUACACCAAACUUUUCUCAUUUCUAAGUUGACUUGGUUGUAGAUUAACCUAAAGCCAAAAUAAUACCGACCAAAUUUACGAAAUCUUGGUCGAAAGGCCACUUCAAUUGAUCACUAGAACAAGAAGCAGAAAUUUCAAACUUAGCUUUUAUUUUUCUUUUGCAUUGCCAACCAUACAAGGUAUUGCCAUAAACACAACUACAAUAUAGGCUUUGCUUUUGUACAAGUGGGCCUAAGAUUUUGCUCCAAUUGUCAAACACCCCUACCUCUACAUAACCCCCCUCUCAUCCAUUCAAAUUUCCUCACAAACACUGUGAUCUUUGUCCAAUCAUAAGAAAAGAUCUAGUCCAAACUCCUUUCUAUUUUCUUCGUUAGGUUACUCCCAAGAAGUCAAAAGCCAAUUCCAUGGCUGGCUCAUUGGCCAUUUUUGGUGUGGUCAUGGCGUUGGGAAUGUUGAGUUGUGGUGCUGAGGCUCGUGCCUUUUUUGUGUUUGGAGACUCACUGGUCGACGCUGGCAACAACAACUACUUAGCCACCAGUGCUCGUGCCGACUCUCCUCCUUACGGCAUUGACUAUCCCACCCGUCGACCCACCGGUCGUUUCUCCAAUGGCCUCACCAUUCCUGACUAUAUCAGUUAGGUUUUCUUCCAUUCUCUUUUUCUUUCCGAUUUUUCGGGUUAUUUUCUCGUUAUUCACAUGUACUGAAUUGACCUAAUAUGUGUGUGCGUAUGUGUAUAUAGGUCAGAAGCUUGGUGCAGAACCUACAUUGCCAUACUUGAGUCCACAACUCACAGGGCAAAAGCUACUAGUUGGUGCAAACUUUGCCUCUGCUGGCAUUGGAAUUCUUAAUGACACUGGGGUUCAGUUUGUAAGUUUUCUUUUAAAACAAAUAGAGGAUCAUGCGAGAGAUUAGCUCUUUAGUGCCCGUCAUGAGCACAAAAGUGCUACAUGCUAGUAAAUUAAUUACCUUGGUAAAGUUGUCAACCAACAAAUUUUUUUUGAACUAGUAAUGGAUGGAUAUGUGUGAAAUUUUCAGGCAAAUAUAAUCAGAAUGCCAGCGCAAUUGCUAAACUUCCAACAAUACCAGCGAAGGUUGUCUGCCCAAAUCGGACCUCAACGGACCAAACAGCUCGUAAAUCAAGCACUCGUCCUCCUCACCGUCGGCGGCAACGAUUUUGUGAACAACUACUACCUAGUGCCUUUCUCCGCAAGAUCUCGCCAGUUUGCUCUGCCAGACUAUGUCAGAUACCUCAUUUCCGAGCUCCGAAAAAUUCUCUUGGUAACCAACUCCUAAUUUGGCUAAGUUCGGAAAUAACUUGCUAGCUAAGCGACAAUGUCACAUGUUAAUGACUUAUAAUUAUGUGUAGUUUGAUCAUUCUUUGUGUCAUAACUUUACAGAAAAUGUAUGAUCUUGGAGCACGAAGGGUUUUGGUGACAGGGACAGGACCGAUGGGCUGCGCAC
Molecule: long non-coding RNA, 46763 nt
Filed under: Malus domestica (apple)
Lineage: Eukaryota; Viridiplantae; Streptophyta; Magnoliopsida; Rosales; Rosaceae
Description: long non-coding RNA (MDOM_LNC004173)
Source: RNAcentral